RNAcentral lists this long non-coding RNA (60312 nucleotides) under Arachis ipaensis. RNAcentral's name for it is "long non-coding RNA (AIPA_LNC002544)". Lineage: Eukaryota; Viridiplantae; Streptophyta; Magnoliopsida; Fabales; Fabaceae. The record is from RNAcentral.
AACACAAAAUAUUUUGUUUGUGACUUCAACCUAGUCUUUAUUUUUUAAUUCAAAAAACUAGGAAACAUGGUGAAGAUUACAACUAAGAUAUCAUUUGUAAUGAUCCUUCUGGCUUUAGUAGCCACCAAUGGUAUUUUCUUUUCCAUUUUAUAUGUGUUUUUUUUUUCGAUAUAUAUCGAAAUAAUUAUAUUAUUAAAUACGUAUUAAUCUUGUUUAUACUUAAUUUGUGAUUCUGUCUCUUAAAAUAAUUAUGUUAAUUACUUUUCUUCAAUUUCAAAAUAGAGGCCAAGAAAAGAGCCUAGUGUGGAGAAAAAAAGACAAACGAAUUUUUGAUUUUUUAUCACAAAAAUAAAUAAAUUCUUUACCAAAUUAAAAUAUAAAUAAAUUUGUAACCUUGUAAAUAGAAGAUAUAUAAGUUUUUCUACUAAUGGACCUUGAAAAAGGAAACUAGUAGCUGAGUGCAUACCAUUAGAAAUAAUGUAGUUUACCUACAUUUUAAUAAUAAAAAUCUUGGAGUUUAAUAAUUUAUUAUUACUCAUGAGUGUAAAAUUUGUGUCGUCUUGUGUACUUGUAUAUUACGAUGGAAUUAUUAAAUAAAGAAAUAAAUUUACAAGGGGUAAUUUUAAUUUUUUUAUUUUUUGAUAAUAUCAACGCUAUAGUCAUUCGUAGAAAUAAAAAUAAAAUUGUCAGCAAAAUUGUUUUACCAACAGUUAAUGAGGUUGAUAUUAAUAAUGAUUAUUUCUGAAGCCACAGUAUUGAUAAAAUAGGUUAAAAAAUGAUCAAUAAUAAGAUAAUUAACGGAUAUUUCGCUGCCAGUAAUAUUAAAUUUUCUAAUAGUAAUAGAACAAGUUAAAUUUUAAAAUAAUAAUAAAACUAUUAUUAUUAUUAUUAUUAUUAUUUGAUUUAAUUAAUUUAUCAGUCAUGUAUUUUGAUAAAAGAAAAUUAUCUUAAUUUUAAUAUUUUUAACAUGAAAAUGACGUAAUUACAAAAUUUAAGAAUCCAGUAUUUAUUAAUCAACAUGUAAGUAUAUAUGCAACUAUUUCUGAAAUUCUUCAAAAUGUUAAGGAUGCAAGUAGCAUUAAGAACAAAAAACAUUUUUUAUCGUUUUCAGUUAAUUCAAUCUCAGCAAGAUAGUUUUGAUCGUUUUCAAUUAAUUCAAUCUCAACAAGUGGAACGUUCAAAUUGUAAACGUUUUGAAGAUAAGUUUGUCGAAACACUUGUGAAAAAUCGUAAUUUGAGAGCAAUAUUAUCAUUAAAAUUAAUGUAAUGUAAGGAAUAAAAAGUGGGCCAUAACUUAAUAAAAAUAAUUUUACUAAUAAUUGAUCUAAUAAAUAGAUAUAGUAAGAAUGUAAUGCUAAUAAUGAAAAAUUUUAGGGAUUGAUUUCUUUUCUCUUUGAUCUUAAUUGGGAUUCUCUCUACUCUCUCUUCUCUCUAUUGGUUCUUAAAUCUUUUUCCUUACACAACAUUAAAGUUAUAAAUUUAUUCCCUAUAUUUUUAGAAAAAAUAUAUUUAUUUAAAAAGAUAAUGUGUUUCUCUCUCAACAACUUAUCCCAGUUCCGACUUUACGAUUCUAACUCAAACAGGGAUAUUGUUCAUAUCUAUGCCCAAAUAUAUACUCCAAUCCCAGAAUAUACUUUGUAACAACUCUCUAAUUGAAUCAUUCUCUGCAAAUUCGGUCCAACUGUAAGAUCCAAAAUUUUUGAAAAGUCUUAUUAUGAGUCAAUUUCAAUUUAUUUUAUUAAAGUCAAUUAGAUCAAAUUAUUUUAUUAAAGUCAAUUAGAUCAAAUUUCGAUAAUUAAACUAGAAUUUUUUUAUUUAAUUUUAUAAUUAUUGAAGAGAGCCGAACAGAGAAGGACGGGAGAGGGAAGCCUUGUUUGCGCCGUCACCAUGCUGCUGCUGCUGCUGCUGUCUAACUGCGUCGCCACCGUCUUGUGGAGCUGCUGCCGAAUUGCUGAGCUUGAGGGGCCCGUGCCGUCGCCGCCAUUGCCGUCGCGGAGGAGGGAGCCUAGAGGAGAGAGAGAGAUCAUGCGACUCUGGGGAGGAGGACGCGGCCAGUGACGCGAGAAGCACGACCCGCUGCAUGAAGUUGAGCCGCCGUCGUUAACCAGCCCAGCUGCCUCGCCAUUGUCACCGCCGAGGGUUUGCCGCUGGUGAGGAGAAGGCGCCAUCGCUUCUCCCAAUCGUCCCUGCCGCUGCCGUGCCAUCAAGAAGGAGGCCGUCUGGUCACACAGAGUAAGAGAGAGAGAAAGCAGGGGAGCAGAGGAGAGAGAGGAGAGACCUGCGCCAGCCACCGCCACUUCUGCUGCCCGAAACCCCGUUGUCGUUGUCGGGAAACUUUACCGAUAAGGGUUUUUGAGUUUGAUUUUCAUUCAUUUAAGAUUCUGAAAACUUUAUCGUCUCUGCAUGUGGGUUUCAGUCACCAUCGCCGGAGUCCGGUCGCUGCUGCUGCUUAAGGUGGCUGCUGGGGCUGCUGCCAAACUGGUUCAGAGCCCGCCGCUACUUCGUUUUGUCAUUUCAGUAAGUAUUUAUGUUUAGAAAAUCCCUGCGUUAGUGUUUGGUUAUGUUUGGUUAAAGACUUUGAGGUUUGAGUUUUAAUGUUGCAUGUCGCGUAAGUGUUGUUGUGGCUGUUGCGCCGUUCCUUUUAUUCCAGUAAGUGUCUCUAUCUCAGAAUUCUCGCCAUUAGUUUUCCAUUAUGUGUUUUAAGAUUUUUCGCGAUAUUAAUGUUUUAGGAAUUAGAAACCGACUUUGCACGUCGUGUUUGAGGCUGUUUCUGGUUCUAAGAAAGCAAGUAGAGUUGAGGUUUUGGUUUCCGUCGAUUCGGGUCCAGACGAAAGGAUUUCUAUGAGGCACUUGGAUUAUGGUUUUGCUUAUCGAGGUAAGGGCCUUUUCAGAGAACUACACUUUAUAAAUUGGAAUUAUUAUAUAUGGAUAUUGAUGUGAGAAAAUAUAUCUUUGAGUGAUUGUAUAAGUCUUAUGUAUUGUUGGUUGUCUUGGGUGAAUAUGAAUCCUUUUUUGGCUGGAUUAUUGUUCAGUUUUGUGAAACAGAUUGUUCUUGAAAUGCUUCUUUAAAGUUAUUUUUGUAAAAGCUUUGAAAUCGAGUUUAACCUGUUGGAAAUUGAUUGGAGUUUGAAUUGGUUUCCUUGAAAUAUGAAAAUGGUAUGCACCUUUAGAUUAAGUUGGAUUUUGAGCUAAUUUGGUUUUGAACCCUUUGAAGAGGGUUGCGGAAUGGUUUAGUUGGGAUUCGGAGAGGGUGGCAAGGUCCAAGUUUUAGGGGAGGUGCUGCCGAAAUUCCUAUGGAAUCCGGACUCUAUUGAAAUGUUAUUUGAAAAAUUAUGAGUUAAAGGCUUUUACUAUUUUACUUGAAUUAUUUGAGAAAGUUAUGAAUUAUGUUUUGAAAUGACUCAUUGAAAAGAGAACUAUAAUUUAGUGUUACUUCAUAAGAAAGGUAUUAUAUUUUUUGGUGUAAGACAUUUAAAUGAAAGUUAUGUUUUAAGCCGUUUUGAAUGUGAAAAGGAUUUAUGUCUCUGAAUUUAACUUGUGGAUUUCAAUUUGGAAGAGACUUUGCUUUAAAGUUGUUUUAAAGGUGAAAAGGGUUUAUGUAAUUGAAUUUGAUUUAAGGAUUUUUACUUAGAGGAGUUUUAGUGACUUUGAAAGAACUUGGAUUUCGAUUGAUAAAUCUCAUUUUUCGACAUUUUAAGAAAGGUUAAAGUAUCCAUUAAAUUUUUGGUUUAGAAAAACUAAAAUGAUUUCAGAGCCGUUGGGAACGUUUCAGAUUUUUAAUAUGGGGUUGAGAAUGGUUUUUGGGUUUAGUAAAAGAAAUAGUUUUGCAAAUGUGUUCUGAGUACUUGUGUUCUGAGUAAAAGAACUUAGAUUCUAUUCUUAUUACUCACAUCAGGAAUCCAUGGUUUUAAGGACUUUGGACAAGUUUGAGAAAAUGAGUUAUGUUAUUCUCCCCUAAAAGACUUGAGACUCUGUUGAAGAACUUUUGUUACGAAAUCCUAUUUUAGAAUGAAUAAUUUUGAAUCUCUCGAAAAUGGAUUUUGAUUUGGUGUGGUUUCUGAAAUGUUUGAAAAGAUGUUGUGGAGAUUGACCUUAUUUUAAAAAGGAAAAUUUACAUUUGAGAAAAAGUGGAUUUUGAGCCUGAAAUUAUUUGAGGAAUGAGGAUUUUAAAGUCAAGACUGAAAAGAAUUGAUUUUUGAUUUCAAAGUAAAGUAAUUUGAGAAAAAUGAUUUAUGGCUUGAAUGAUGAUUUUUAUGAGUUUGAUGAUGUUGGAUGGUGGAAGUGCUAUUAUGUUAUGAGCCGGAUGGCUGUAUAUGAUAAUGAAUUAUGGCUGAUUGUGGAAUAUGUUAUGAGCCGGAUGGUUGAGUAUUGUAACACCCUAACUAUCAAAAGUCACGCUUCCAGCUAUGCCACUCUGAUAACUCGGAUAUUACGACAAAUCUUAUAUUAUUUAAUACUAAAAUAUGAGCCUGUUUAAAAACUUUAAACUGCAAUACCGCUCCAAAAUACUUUUGUUAGGUAACGUACAUCCAUACAUACCAUACAACUUACAAAACUCACAAAGAGUACAUACAUAUAUAUAUAUAUAUAUUAACUAAUUUUACAAGUAUUAACUAAUACAAUUCCUAUCCCUCUUAUAGAAUGUAUAAAGAUAAAGACGAAGGAAAAAUAAAUAAUAAUUAAAGCUGUAAGAACCACAGUUAAUCGAACCGGUUAAUUAAGUGGUUAUGUUGCCCAAAUUUGAUUCUGAAAAGCUAGAAUGAGAAUUUGAGGUUUUAAACAUCAUUUUAGGACUCAGUGGGACUUUCUGAGUCAGAAAAUGUAUUUUCUGCGAAAAAUCGUGAAAAACUGCAAACCGGCAGUUGAACCGAUUGAGCUGGUUCAAGUCUGCCCGGUACUGUGCAAGAAAAAGUAGAGACUGUCAAAAACCUUAGAAAAACAGUAGAAAUGGAAAACCGGGCAUUAAUUUUAAAGGUUUGGCCCGAAGUUAGGCCAAACGGGCUAAAAACGCUAACGAGUUGAACCGGGCCCAAGUUGGGCCCAAGUCCAACAUAUAUAAAGGUUCAUUUAAUGAACUCUAGCCUCAAACACACACACACUUCAAAAUUGAAAGAGGGAGAGGAGAAGAGGUUGAACCCUAAUCACCUCAAUCUUCUCAAGCUCAUAUCUUGAGUUCUAGAGCUCCGAUUUACGUGCCGUCAGCGGCUACGCGUUUCUUGUGAAGAGAUCUACAAAACCCAUCCAAGAAACUCUAUAGGUAAGCUCGAAAUUUUUCCAGUUCUUCUCUCCAAAAUUUCGGGUACCUAGGGUUUUUGAGUAAGUGAGUUUUUGUGAUUCUUGAUGUUUAGGUUCACUCUAAUCCUUGCUUGGCUUUGGGUUUUGCCAUCCAAAUCUGUUGGGAAAGGUAAGAGCCUUUGAUCUCUUGUGAACCUUUGAUUUAUGUUGAGCCCUAGGUUGAUUUUGUGGUGAUUUAUAUGUAUAUAGCUUGAUUAUUGUGAGUUUGGAGCUUGUUGGAGCUACUCUGGUGGUUGGAUUUUGGUUGAAAGCUCAUUUGGUUUAUAUUGAGAAUCGGCUAAGGUAUGGUUUCGGUUUCCUCUAUGUAGUAUAUAAUAUUCAUGGACACUUAGGCUAGUGACUCAUAAGAUAGGAUUAAAUUUGAAUAGUUGAUGAGUUGUUGGAUGUUAUUGCAUGAUGAUGUUUGAUGAAAUGAUGAAUUUUGAGUUGAUAAUGAUGAUUGAUAGUAAUAUGAUAAGGAUGAAUGAUUUAUGAAGUUGAGUAGUGGACUAUGUCGAUUAAUGUGAUUUUGGUGUUGAAUGAUCGGUAAUAUAGUUGGAAAAAUUGUUAAUGAAGUUUGACAUAUGGGAUAUCUUGAUAUGGAUGUUGUGGAUGAGGAAAAUUGGAGGAAAAAUGUGGUAAUUUUGGUGUGGUAUGACAUAGAGGAUUGAUUUUUGAUGAAAGGUGGGGUUUGAGAAUGGUUUGGUUUGGUGUUGGUUGUGUUUUGCAAAGCAAUUGUGAAAAUUGUGACUUUGGGUAAAAGAUGAAUUUCGGUGAACUUUGUGUGAUCAUAACUCUUGCCUCGAUUUUCAAAAUUGGUUAAAAUUUGUUUAGAAUUAAAGAUCUUUGAAAACCCUUCAAAUUGGUAUAAAGUUUAUAAAAUUUAAAAUUUUGUAGAGGAAGUUAUGAUCAUUCAACGUUAGUGUUGAAAAUCUGAAAAUUUUACAAAGUUACAGAAUUCUGAGUUUUCUUGUUUGUGCGCACGCACACUCUACAUAAAUGGUGACCUGUGCGCAUGCACAGACCUGUGCGUCCACACACGCAAAGGCAGGCAGUCUGCUUGCAGCGCUGGCAUAGCCUGUGCGCGCGCACACCCAUAGGAAAAUCGCUACCUGUGCGUACUGGUGCACGAAUUAUGAAUCACACUUUUCACAACUCGUACCACUGACCAGCAAGUGCACUGGGUCGUCCAAGUAAUACCUCACGUGAGUAAGGGUCGAAAGUGAUGAGUGUCAUAGAUCAUCACCUCCAUCACAGUUAAGCGUGAAUGAACAUCUUAGAUAGGAACAAGCGUGUUUGAAUGGAAAACAGAAAUACUUGAGACACAGCAGAGCUCCUCACCCCCAACAAUGGGGUUUAGAGACUCAUGCCGUCAGAGAAUACAAAGUUUAGAUCUAAAAUGUCAUGAGAUACAAAAUAAGUCUCUAAAAGUUGUUUAAAUACUAAACUAGUAGCCUAGGUUUACAAAAUAUGAGUAAACUAUGAUGGAUGAUGCAGAGAUCCACUUCUGGGGCCCACUUGGUGUGUGCUGGGGCUGAGAUUUGAGCAAUCCACGUGCAGAGGCCAUUUGUAGAGUUGAACGCCAGUUUUUGUGCCAGUUUGGGCGUUCAACUCCAGCUUUUGAUCCUUUUCUGGCGCUGGACGCCCAGAAUUGAGCAUUAAUGGAUAGGAGGGCCCAAAGGAAUAAAAUCCUGGCCUAAACGGCUAAAUCAAGCUGUCCCUAACUAUAUGCUUGUGGCGUGAAGGUGUCAAGUGAAAAGCUUGAGACUGAGCGGUUAAAGUCAUUGUCCAAAGCAAAAAGAGUGUGCUUAAGAGCUCUGGGCACCUCUAACUGGGGACUCUAGCAAAGCUGAGUCACAAUCUGAAAAGGUUCACCCAGUUAUGUGUCUGUGGCAUUUAUGUAUCCGGUGGUAAUACUGGAAAACAAAAUGCUUAGGGCCACGGCCAAGACUCAUAAAGUAGCUUUAUUCAAGAAUCAACAUACUGAAUUAGGAGAAUCAAUAACAGUAUCUGAAUUCUGAGUUCCUAUUGAUGCCAAUCAUUCUGAACUUCAAAGGAUAAAGUGAGAUGCCAAAACUGUUCAGAAGCAAAAAGCUACUAGUCCCGCUCAUCUAAUUGGAAUUGAGCUUCAUUGAUAUUUGAAAUUUAUUUUAUUUUCUCUUCUUUUUAUCCUAUUUUGAUUUUAGUUGUCCAGGGACAAGCAACAAUUUAAGUUUGGUGUUGUGAUGAGCAGAUAAUUUAUACCCUUUUUGGCAUUGUUUUUACAUAGUUUUUAGUAUGUUUUAGUUACUUUUUAUUAUAUUUUUAUUAGUUUUUAUUCAAAAAUUAUAUUUCUGGACUUUACUAUGAGUUUGUGUGUUUUUCUAUAAUUUCAGGUAUUUUCUGGCUGAAAUUGAGGGACCUAAGCAAAAAUCUGAUUCAGAGGCUGAAAAAGGACUGUAGAUGCUGUUGGAUUCUGACCCUCCUGCACUCGAAGUAGAUUUUCUGGAGCUACAAAACUCCAAUUGAUGAGUUCUCAAUUGCGUUGGAAAGUAGACAUCUUGGGCUUUCUAGAAAUGUAUAAUAGUUCAUACUUUGUCCGAGAUUUGAUGGCCCAAACUGGCGUUCAAACGCCCACCAAAGACCAUUUUCUGGAGUAAAACGCCAGAACUGGCACCACAACUGGAGUUAAAUGCCCAAACUGGCACCCAAGCUGGCGUUUAACUCCAAGAAUGGCCUAUGCACGUGAAAGCUUCAAUGCUCAGUGCAAGCACACACCAAGUAGGCCCCAGAAGUGGAUUUCUGCACUAUCUGCACUUAGUUACUCAUUUUUCUCUAAACGUAAGUUACUAGUUUAGUAUAAAUAGCACUUUUUACUAUUGUAUUUGGAUACUUUGGAGACCAUUGUUCACGUUUGGAGGCUGACCUCACAGCCAUGCCUAGACUAUUUUCACUUAUGUAUUUUCUACAGUGGAGUUUCUACACCUCAUAGAUUAAGGUGAGGAGCUCUGCUGUUCUUCAUGAAUUAAUGGAAGUACUAUUAUUUUUCUUUCAAUUCACGCCUACUUCUUCUCCAAGAUAUACUCUUGUACUUAAUUCAGUUAAGUCAGAAUGAAGGGGUGACUCGUGACAAUCACCCACUAUCUUCAUUACUCGCUUAGCCAAGAUCUGCGUGCCUGACAGCCACAAGCGGUCUACAUGAUGUUCAACGUAGUCAUUGGACGACAACCGGAGUAUAUUCUCUUGGGUCUCUAAUCCACGAACCGAGUCCGGGGGUUAGAACCUUCGUGGUAUAGGCUAGAACUAUUGGCAGCAUUCCUGAGAUCCGAAAAGUCUAAACCUUGUCUGUGGUAUUCCGAGUAGGAUCUGGGAAGGGAUGACUGUGAAGAGCUUUAAACUUACAAAUGUUGGGCACAAUGACAGUGUGCAAAAGGAUAGAGAGAUCCUAUUCCGAUGCUAGUGAGAGCGAACAAAUGAUUAGCCGUGCGGUAGCUGUACCCGGUAUUUUUCAUCCGAUACGAGAAAUCCGACAGUUGAUUAGCCGUGCAAGAUCGUACCUGGUAUUUUUCAUUCGAGAGGAUCAUACAGCUUGCCAUGGAAGGGAGCACGCAUGAUUGGAAGAAGACAAUAGGAAACCAGAGAUUCAGAAGUAACAAAGCAUCUCCAAACGCUUAUAUGAAAUUCCCACCAAUGAAUCACAUAAGUGACUUUAUUUGAUUUUAUGUUUAUUUAUCUUUUAAUUAUCAAAACCUCAUAACCAUUUGAAUCCUCCUGACUAAGAUUUACAAGGAUGACCAUAGCUUGCUUCAAGCCGACAAUCUCCGUGGGAUCGACCCUUACUCACGUAAGGUAUUACUUGGACGACCCAGUGCACUUGCUGGUUAGUUGUGCGGAGUUGUGAAAAGUGUGAAUCACAAUUUCCCACACCAUUAUGUCUCUGACUUUUGUAUAUUUAUUUGUCCUAGAAGCUUGUAUUGAGAGAACAAAACUUGUAUAAGCUAUUUUUACUGUCUGGUUUGAUACAUGGUCUGUAUAUGGCUAGCCGGCUUAAACUCCGCGAGUCGUGGCUAGUGUCUUAUCAUAUUAUACUAUUAUACUAUGAUGUUUUGUUACUCAAUACUUGUUUCUUGUGUUUUAAGUUAGAAUCUUCGCUAGUACGUUUUGCGCUUUUCAAAUCCGGUUUUUGAGCUAUAUUCUCCAUUGGGCUUCUAGAUAUUAUCAGCUCCUUCUAUAUAUAAUAUAUAAAUAAGCUCAGAACUGUCGUAACCUUUGAUUAACCUUUGUUUUACGACACGAGGUAAGGCUUAGGCUAGUUAGGGUGUUACAAAAGCAAUACAAAACAUCACGACAACAACUAGAUAAACUCUUCGUGACUUCUGCGUCCAUAUCCUGAAAAGGGAAAUUUGUAGGGGGGAUGAGAACAUCAUCCUCGAAAGGGUUCUCAGUAGAGGGUUUUUGAGAAUUACUAUAAUAGGAUACGUGAAGGUAAAACCGUUCCAGUGAUUAAUAACCGCCUUAUGCAUCUUUUCAAAAGCUAAGGUUUACUAUAAGAGAAAAAUCUGAAAUCUUUUCUGAAAGAGGAACUGUUCAUUUCUUAAAAAUUCAAAAGCCUUUCAAAAAGGUUUAUCUAUGCUGAACUAAAUUAGUUUUUCAUUAUUUUCCAAACCAGAAACAUCAACUAGACAUGGCCUUUGGCCCACCUCAUGAUCAACCACGGCUCUAGGCCCAAACAACCCAAACAACAACCAAUCACCACAGUCCAACAGAGUUUUAGUUGCAAACACAAAUAGGAAAGUUCAAGCACAAACAAACAGUUACUUCAAGUAGAACAAUUAGCAGUUAAUCACAAGUAAUCACAAAGGCAAACUAAGUACAAUAUGCACACCCAAACAAUGUCACAUAGAUGCAUAUGAUGAAUGCCUGUCCUAGUAGCUGGUGAUAUCAUCUGUCAUUUAUAAAGCCAACCCGACAAGUCCUGGUAGCUAACUAUUGGACUGUCCCUCUGUCGUGCAUACCCAACUCGAGUUUUUCACAAUCAUAAUCAUAAUUCACAUCCAACACCCUCAUUGGUGUAUAUUCACGGGGGCAAGCUCAUCCGAAACUUUCACAGUGUCCGGCCACACUUACGACAUAGGGUCAGCAGAGUAUCGAGUCUCAACCUGGAGCACGUGGUGGCUAGCCACUGCUUCUACCCAGGAAAACUCGUAUCUCAGAUAAUUGGAAGUGCAACAAUCACAAUAUCAAUAACUCAGCAUAUAUACAUUUAUUCUCAACCAUAAAUCAACAUUCUUCUCAUCCAUCCGGCUUAAAUUCAUGAUUCAUAGUCAGCCAUCCGGCUCAUAACAUAUUCCGCAAUCAUCCAUAAUUCAUUAUCAUACACAGCCAUUCCGACUCAUAACAAAAUAGCACUUCCACCAUCCAACAUCAUUGAAUUCAUAAAAUCAUCAUUCAAGCCAUAAAUCACUUUUUCUCAAUUCACUUCACUUUGAAAUCAAAAAUCAAUUCUUUUCAACCUUGGCUUUAAAGUUCCCAUUCCUCAAAUCAUCUCAAGCUCAUAAGCCACUUUUACUCAAAGUAGGUUCCCUUUUUAAAAACAAAGCCACCAUCGGCAUCCUCUUUCUAAAACUUCCAAAACCAUGGCAAAUUAAAGAUAUCUUUUGAAAUAUUCAAUAUCAUCCAUCCCACAAUGGGAUUUUAUAACAAAAGUUCCUCGACAGAGUCUCAAGUCUUUAGGGGAGAAUAACAUAAUUCAUUUCUUCAAAUUCGUUUAAAAUCUGUAAAACCUUAAUUCUUGAUUUGAGUAAUAAAAAUAGAAUCUAAGCCAAGCCGAGUCGUGUAAUCACUUACUCCAACCACAUUUUCAAAACCAUUUCGUUCACUUGAACCAAAACCAGUUUCAACCCUUUGAUAAAAAUCUGAAGCGUUUCCAACGGCUCGGAAAUCAUUUUUUUGUUUUGCUAAACUGGAAUUCAAAGGAUACUUUAAAACUUAUCUAAAACGUCAAAAAUGAGAUUUGUCAAUCCCAAAUUCUUUCGAAGUCACUAAAACUCCUCCAAGUGAAAAUCUUUAAGAUAAAUUCAAAAACAUAAACCCUUUUCACCUAUAAAACUGCCUUAAAGCAUAAAUCUCUUUCAAAUGACUUGCACCCAAAGACAUAAUAUUUUUCUUAGGAAUCAAGGGGAAGUCAUAAUUCUCUUUUCAAUAAAUCUUUUCAAAACAUGCUUCAUCGCUUUCAUAAUUGAUCCAAGUAAAGGUAAUAAAAGUCUUAAAUUCACAAUUCUCCAAGUAAAAUAAUAAAGGCCUUGAAUUCAUAAUCUUCUAAAUAACAUUUCAAAUAAAGACUCGAAUUUUAUAGGAAUUUUGGCAGUACCUCUCCUAAAACUUAGACUUUGCCACCCUUUUCGGGUCCCAACCAAACCUUUCUAAAACCUUUUCCUCGGGUCCAAAACCAAAAUCAGUUUUAAAGCAAGCUAAAUCCAACCAUUCAUAUCAUUUUUAUCUCUAUAGGAAAAUUGAUUCAAGAUCAAAUCAUUAUCAAUUAACCAAACCCAUUUUCAAAACUUUAAGGAAACAAUUCAGUAACAGUCCAUUUAUCGAAACCAAACAACCAUCCAAUCAAACAUAUAAUCAUAUUCAUCCAAAACAGUCAGACCAUACAUAAAACUUAUAAAAUCACUAAAAAGUAUAUAAUUCUCACAUAAGUAUCCAUUUAUAACAAUUCCAAAUAAAAAAUAGCUUUUCAGAAAAGUCCCUACCUCAAUUAGCUGUAAUUGAAGAAUUUAAAUGCGGCAAACCCAAUAUUACGAAUCUAUAGCAGCGGUGCUCCAUCAAAUCCCAGCACCUAUUCUUAGCUUCGGUGGUGACUUAGCGGCAAUCUCCAAAUAGAGCCGGAAGCUACCUCCAGUAACCGCGAUGGCAAGGUAAUUUACAAUAAUCACUUUAUCCAAUACAAACAGUUUCAGUGACAAGCUUCAAAUUAGAAAUAAAUUGGUAGAACAAGGAAUCAGAAACAAGGCAGAGCUUACCAAAUCAGUAGUGGUUCUAAUGGUGGUUUCCUGGGCAGCUUGAAUGUUGGCUCCCGGUGGCAGAGGGCUCUGGAAACUCGCAGAAAUCACUAAACAGAGCAGUCCUAUCAACGGCGGCUUGUACCGCAGCGACCCAGGCAGCGGCAUCAACUGAACAGUAGCUCUGAUGAUGUCAUUCCAGUGAGUACUCUUCCUUCGGCAGUAACACAGAAACUCAGAACCAGCAUAGCAGCAUCAAAAUCAUCAACGGUGGCUCUAACAAUGGGCAACUCCAGCGACGGCAGAGUAACUAACUCGCUGUGACAAGUGGGUAGUGGCUCCAGUAGCAACCACCAUGGCAUCUUGGCUUCAGUAGUGGUUUCCAAUGGCGACGGCGACGUGCUCAAAACAGAACCCAAAUAGAGCAACGGUAAGAACGACGGCCAUGGGUGACGGCGAUGCGAGCUUCAUCAAUGGUGGCUUGGACUACAGGAACCCAGGUAGCGGUGACGGCAACCACUGAAACAGAGUUUACAGCACGACAGUGGCGAAAAAGGUCCCCUCCCUCUCUUGUCACAUUCUGUCUCUUCUCUCUGUGUAAAACUCACACACCACGACGAUGACGGCGGUGCUCCUCGCGACUCCCUGGACAGCAAUGAGCUUGAACGGCUGCAUAGGCAGGAUACAAUGGUAGUGGCUCCCUUCCCCUGGCCCCUGGCUUGCUCAUGGUUCUCCUUCUCCGCCACAUGACGAUGACGGAACGGGCUCGACGUGCACGGCGCGACGUCGGCGACAGCAGGAUGCAGCGCGGUAGUGACGAGGCGUAGGUCGACGGCAGGGCACGAUUCCAUCUCUCUAUUUCGCGAGCUCUCUCUUCUCCCUUUCCACUUCUAUAUGUGUGUCAUGUGAUGAAGGUGACGGCAGGGGGGUUACAGCGCUGAGUUAGGGAUUGAGAGUGAGGGUUACGCUGAAGGGGAUGAAACAGGGGUGGAGGUGUGGCUGCGUGUUUUAGAGCUGGGUUAAGGGUUUCAGGGUUAGGGUUUUCCCAAUUCGGGAAUUAGGGUUUAGGUAAAAUUAGGUUUAAGGGUAGUUUUGUAAUUUCAAAAAAAAUAGAAAUAAUAUAGUAAUUAGAAAUAAGUUUUAAUCCAACAAUAAUAAUGUAAAAAAAUACUAUUUGUUCAUCAAUUUUACAAAUUAUUUUCAAUAAAAUGUUCAAAUCCAAAAAUUAGAAAUAAUAUAAUUAAUUUCUUCAUUUUCCAAAACAGCAGUAUUAAUAUUUUAAAAUAUUAAUUAUUUAGUCCAAAUCAUAUAAAAUUCUUAUUAUUUCAUAACUACCAAAUUUAUAAUUUAAAUAUAGAAAAUAAUCUAAUAAUUGUAAAAUUGGAUAAUAAUCUUAAUUUAUUUCAAAUCCAAUUAAUCAAAACUUGCUUUAAUUAUCUUUAAUAAAACAAUUUCUAAAAUUAAAAUUAUAAAUAACUAUAUGAUUUGAGACUUGAUCAUAAUAAGACUUUUCAAUAGUUAUGGGUCUUAUAAGUAUGAAUAUGGAUGAUUAUUGAGUUGAUAAGGUGAUUGUUGCACUUCCAAUUAUCUGAGAUACGAGUUUUUCCUGGGUGAAAGCAGUGGCUAUCCACCACGUGCUCCAGGUUGAGACUCGAUACUCUGCUGAUCCCAUGUCAUAAGUGUGGCCGGGCACUUUGAAAUUUCCAAACGAGCUCGUCCUCGUGGAUAAACACCAGUGAGGGUGUUAUAUAUUUAUGUUUGAGAAUUACUCGAGUAAGGGAUGCACGACAGGGGGAAAGUCCAAUGGUUAGCUACCAGGACUUGUCGGGUUGGCUUCAUAACCGACAAAUGAGACUCAUCAGCCACUAGGAGAGGCAUGCAUCAUAUGCAUCUAUGUGACAUUGUUUGGGUGUGCAUAUUGUACUUGGUUUGCCUAUCUGAUUAAUUAUGUUUAAUUGCUAUUUGCUCUACUUGAAGUAACUAUUUGUUUGUGCUUGAACUUUCCUACUUGUGUUUGGGACUAAAGCUCUGUUGGAUUGUGGUGGAUUGGUUGUUGUUCGGAUUAUUUGGGCCUAGGGCCGUGGUUGAUCAUGAAGUGGGCCGAAGACCAUGUUUGGUUUGUGUUUCUGGUUUAGAAAAAUAUGAAAAACUAAACUGGUUCAGCAUAGACUUAAUGAACCUAUACUUGGAACAGGUUGGUCGUUCAUGCUGUUUUGGAAAAACCUUUUGAAAGGCUUUUGAAUUUUGAAGAAAUAACAGUUUCCUCCUUUAGAAAAGAUUUCAGAUUUUAAUGGUAAAUCUUUGGUUUUAAAAAGAUGCAUAAGGCGGUUAUUAAUCACGGUAACGGUUUUAUUUUCACGUAUCCUAUUAUAGUAAUUUUGCAACCCUAUAGUGAGAACCCUUUCGAAGAUGAUGUUCUCACUCCCCUACAGGUGUUUCAUUUUCAGGAUAUGGAUGAGGAAGUCACGAAGAGUUUAUUAUAUUUUCUGUUUAUAUGAUGUAUUGUAUUGUUUUUAGAUAUUAUGUUUUCUCUCGCCUUUAUCGAUAUACAUUCUGUAAGAGGGAUAGGAAUUGUAUUAGAUAAUGCUUGUAAAAUUAUUAAUAUAUAUGUAAAAUUAUUAAUAUAUAUAUAUAUAUAUCCUUUGUAAGUAUUGAUAUUUGUAUGGAUAUAUAUGUAUCUAUUAAAAAGUCUUUUGAGCGGUAAUAUGAUUUAAGUUUUAAACAGGCUCAUAUUUUAGUAUUAAAUAUUAUAAGAGUCGUUGUAAUACCCAAUCUAUCAGAGUGGCGCAGCCGGAAGCUUGACAUUUUGAUAGUUAGGGUGUCACAUUAUGGUAUCAAAGCGGUAUGAAGAAUGGACCGACUAUGCUUCAAUUGCAUACUCUGAGCGUUUGUCAUGUAGUAGGUCUUGUUCGGAUAACAAGAAUUAGAGCUUUAUGAACAUGACGGUCUAUUGAUUAAUGCCAUUAGUCUUGCAUUGUAUAAUUCCUGAUAUUAAGUUUGGCCAGCUUAAUACUAGUGAAUAUGUAUAUGAAAGCACUAAUGGGUUAUCAUAGAUGAUAUACAAGUUUUGGGUAAAGCGAAUCGUGUAACAGCCCAGACCACUCGCUAGCACGAUAUUAUCUGCUUUGGCACAUAAGGCCUCACGGUUUUGCCUUUGACGAUAUGGAUGAUAGCUGAAGCCCCCUACACUCACUUGUCAGAACGUGUCAUGCUAGGGAGAGGUAUCCACACCUUUAUAAGACACGCUUCGUUUCCCUCCCCAACCGAUGUGGGACCUUACAAUCUACCCCCUAAGGGAGCCCUGCGCCCUCGCUGGCACAUCGAUUCGGGCUCCAGCUCUGAUACCAUCUGUAACAGUCUAGACAACCCGCUAGCACGAUAUUGUCCGCUUUGGCAUACAAGGCCUUACGGUUUUGUCUUUGACGAUAGGGAUGAUAGCCGAAGCCCCCACACUCACUCGUCAAAACGCGUCAUGCUAUAGAGGUAUCCACACCCUUAUAAGGCAUGCUUCGUUUCCCUUUCCAACCGAUGUGCGGCCAUACAAUAUCACAAAAAAAAGUAAUUACAAUAAAAAAAAUUUUUAAUUAAAGAAAUAGCGUCACACAAGAAAUUGACUCAAUAUAAAAGGUUAAAAAAAAAGUAACGAUAAUAUGUACCCUUGUCAUUAAGAAUAGAUUAAUUUGGUUAAAAGGCUUUGAGCAAAAAAUUUUUUUAGGGCUUGUGAGAUCAAGAAGGUUUUUGGUUAAAUAGUCAAGAUACUAAUAUCACUUUGAUCAAUGUCUACGUUGGUUCUUCAUUUGGUUUAAGUUGCACAAUUAUCUUGCUCAUGCAUCAUACAUAUUUCUCUUAGUAAUAGUAGCAAUUUUUUAAUACAAAAUUCAUAAGUCCGUUUGGAUAUGGAUGAAAGUCAAAAUAACAAUGAAUUUAUUUAUUUAUUUAUUUAUUUGAUAAGGUGGGAAUUUUUAAUCACCACAAAUAUAUAUUAAUUAAUUAGUGUAUGAAACUCUCAUUGAAGGUAGUUAUUUUUUUUUUUGUGCUAAGCAUUUUACGACUAGAGAUUCACUAGCUAUUUAUUACAAAAUAAUCCCUCUGGUAACUAAAUCUAGUUAAUACUUAAAUUUAUUCCUAAAAAAAUUUAAUUUUUAAAUCGUUUAUCGAAAAUUUUUAUUAGUCAUAUUAGAUUUAUUAUCGUAAGUCAAAUCGAUUCUUUCAUCGGUUAGAUGAUAACAUGUGCUCAUGUUAAGUGCUACAUGACAUAAUGAUAUAGCUAGUUAGAGAAUAAUGUGUGACGUUAAGUGCCGCACGUGCCAUGAUGAUAUAGCCAAUUUAACAUCAUAUAUAACAAAAUAAUUGAUUGAUGUGUCAUGUUACAUUAAUAUUCAAUUAAUCAUUUUGACACGUUAAUCUAUCACGUCAUCAUGUUACGAGACCCUUAAUAUUAUUGUUAUUGUCUGACUAACGAAAAGAUCAAUAUGACUAUUAAAAUUUUUUAAAGACCAAUUUAAAAAAUAAAUUAUUUUUUAUAGACAAAUUUAAAAAUUUAUUUCUCCUAACUCUAAAUUAUUAUUUAUUACAAUAUCAUGAAUCAGGCUCCUACUAAAGGUACUACAUCAAAAAAUGUUAAUUACUACUGCAUAAACUAAUCAUGAUUGAUUAUCAACAAAUUUCAAAUCAUGCAUUCUAUUAUGGGUUCAACUAGUAUGUGCCAUAAGGGCACAUUUUAGAAUUUUUAGUUAGAAAAAUUAAUUUAAAUUUUUAAUAUAUUUAUUAUUUAUUUAUUAAAGAAAACAAAUUAAUAAUUUCUACUAAUGAUUAGUUUAAUAUGUGCUUUUAUUAUGGUACAAUUUAGUUAAGCUCUUGUAUUAUUAUCAAACCCACCUUGGUCCUGUUGGUAUAGGAUAAUACUGACUCUAUAAAUGAGUACUCAAUUCGAUCUAACUCGUUCUGGUAGGAUUGAGAGCAUAGUGGGUUAAACAGGGUAGGGUUAAGAACCCUAACCGAUCUAUUCGCACCCGUAAUAAAUUAAAGGUUUAAUUAUUCUAUUGAUCUCUAUUCUUUCACGAAAUUUUCAAUUAUUAUGUCUCUAUAUUUUUUUUCCUUUUAAUUUGAUCCCUGCACUAAUUUUUUUGCAAUUAGAUCCCUUUUUAUAGUAAUUGAUUUAAUUGUAUAGGGACUCAAUCAAAAAAAAAAUUUGUGCAGGGACCCAAUUAAAAGGAAAAAAAAGUAUAGAGACCCAAUUAAAAAAAAAUUGGUGCAAAGACUCAAUUAAAAGAAAAAAAAGUAUAGGAAUCUAAUUAAAAAUUUUGCGAAACUAUAGAGACCAACAGAGUAAUUAAACUUAAAUUAAAGUAUAUUGUUAAAAAAUAUUAUACGUAUAUAAUGAAGUUGGUAGAGAUUAAACUCACAUUCUCUCUCUUUUGUAAUUUUAACAUAAAUUUUAUUAUAUUUUAUUACUUUUAUUUUUAAUAUGGACUUAAUUUUGUAUUUUUUUUAUUAACAUGUAUGAAAUACAAAAUGAUUACAUAUUAUGUUUGACUGAAAAAUUUUAUUUUGUUGCAGGUAUGGCUGAAUAAGGUCGGUGAAAAACAUUAGGGUGUGAUUAAGAUUAUAAUUAAAAAAAUUUUCAACCUACAAAUAAGAUAUAAUUAAAUUUUAGUAAUAAUUUAAAUGCACAAGUAAGAUUAUGAUAGAAUCUAAAUCUUAUCUUUAUCCUUUUUUUUCCAAAAAAAAUUCCAACUAUUUAAGUAAAAUUAUUAGUUUGAAAAAUAAUAUGAUUUUAUUUUGUCAACAUUAAUUAGAUGAUUGACUAUUCUCUCUAUUAAUUAAGGCUUAGAUUUAUAUUUGACCAAAAGAUAUUUUAUCAAAUAUAUUCUCUUAUAUAUAAAGUUAUAUGAAAAAUACAAAAUCACGUUUAAUUUUUGCUAACAUGAUAAUUAAUCUUUGACUUAUAAAUUUUUCAUAAAAAAAUAAAUAUUGGAUUUAUAAAAGAUUACCAAAGCGGCAAAUAAUUUGGGGGGAAAAUUAUAUUUUAGCAUUAAAUUUAAAAAAUAAUUUACUAAAAAUAUGAAUAAUGAGAAAACAUACUCAAUUUUGAUAAUUGUUAAACCAUGAAUAGAAUAUAAUUAAAACAAAUUUAAAAUUAUAUAUUUUAUGUAUAAUAUAUUAUAAUUUAUUAUUAUCUUUUGACAUUCAUCCAACUCUAUAAAUUUACAUCAAAAGGCCUUCAUAGAAGCCAUCAAAACACAAAAUAUUUGAUGGGAGUUAGUUUUUCUUUAUAACUCCAGACUGAGGCUUAUGCCAGAUAAAUUGAGAUCAAGAUGGGAAGAUUCCUAUAGAGUAGAGAAGGCAGAGCCAUACGGAGUUUUUCACCUGCGUCAUCUUUCUAACUCCAAAUUUAUAAAGGUCAACGGACAUCGCAUAAAGCUUUAUCAUGGUGAAAAGAUAAAGGAUCACAAAGAACUAGAGAUUUUCCUCUGGGAAGACCCACCAACAGAAGCAGAAUGAGCCUAAAGACGUCCAACUUAAGGACGUAAAAGCAAAGUGCUAGGUGGGAGACAACCCACCAUGGUAUGAUCGUUCAGUUUCCGUCUUAGUUUUCUUUUACUUUAUUCUAUUUUGUUUUUGUUAAUGACUCUUCUCAUAAUCUCUGCAUAUAGCUACAUAUAGCUUGCAUUUGCAUUUGCAUACUGCAUAUAAAAAAAAAAGAAAAAAGAGGCACGCGACGCAUAAGCGUCGCUGACGCGUUCGCGUCAUAGGUGCCUUGGACACGAGAAAAAAAAAGCAAAGAGUCACACGAAAGCGUGGCUGGAGGCGUGCCUUAGGCACAAGCAUGCCCAUGCGAAAGCGUCGCUGACGCGCCCGCGUCAUUUUGGAAAAUAGCCUCCCCACGCGUGCGCGUCACCCACACGCACGCGUGGCCCUACAAAAUUGACGUAAAGAGGUAUAUGGCAGCAAGUUAUGAUGGAGUGGGGCUGGAAUGUGCUGGAAGCACCAGCCCUAUCAUGCGAACGCGUGCCCUACACGGCCGCGUCGUUUUACAAAAUCAGGCCAUUCAUGCGUGUGCAUCACCCACUCGCACGCGUCACCCACAUUUUUGGCAAUGUGCAUUUAGAACAGAGAGUUGUGCGUACGCGAGGCUGCACUCGCGCCAAUAGCACAAAUCAGGUCACGCGUACGCGUGACCCACGCGUCCGCGUCACCUGAACUUAUCACCCACCACACGAUCGCAUGCCCCAUGUGUCCGCGUCACAUGCGACGCACAGCUUAUCCAGAUCAGCCCAGAUGUCUUAUCUUUUCUUCCCCAAAUCCAAAUCUUUUCUUUUCCCUUCUUAUUUCUUUCUUCUACCUUCUUCCCUCUUUAUUCUUUCUCACUUUUUACUUCCUUCUCCCUUAUUUUUCACUUUCAUUAUCAAGGUUCUUUUCUUUCUUUCUUCCCUCUUUACUUUUUAUUAUUUUUAUUUAUGUUUUCUUUUCUUCUUCUUUUUCUUUCUACUUUCAUUAUCUAUAUUUUCUUUUUUCUUUCUUUUUCUUUUUAUUCCUUUAAUUGGUGUUAGAAAUUUAAUUAGAGUAUUAUUUUCUUCUAUAUUUUGCUUGUGAGUAUAUUAAGGAAUUGUUUGACAAUUAAUAUUACUUCUUAAAGGGAUGCUUGCAUGUUCAAUUUAAUACUUUUAAUAACAUAUUUACCAUGCAUACUAUGUGUUUGUGUAAAAGCCCGUAUGGCAUUGUGUAUUAUUUUAAAUUAUUCUAUUCUACUACUCUAAUGCCUGUUUUUCACAAAAUCCCUUUUAUAUUUUAUUGAUUAAAUAUAAUUAUCAAUACAAACAGAUUGUUAGUUUGAAAGGGUUGAUAAUCUAACUUGGACAUUUCAUGCUUGAUCUAUGCUACUCAUGCCCUUGCUGGCAUGUCAAUAAACAUCUUGCAUUUAAUUUCCAUCAUAUGCACUUGCUAUAUUUCAAUUGAUGAACUUUUCACAUGUAGUCAUGACCAUGUGUUAACGACAUCCUUCUUUACCGUGCAUUAUUAUCACAUAUACCAUCCUCUUUCUUGCUCAAACCCUUAGCUUUAAAUAUUACUUUCUUUUUCCUUUUCAGGAUGGCCACCAAAAAGGGUAAAGAGAAAGCUACUCCCAAACUACCAGCAAGAAAAAGAACAAAAAGAGCACUAGUGGCAGAGCCAUCUUCAACCGCAGUAAAGCCCUCAACAAAGCGAAUCAAGAGGAUCAUUGAUAAACCAUUAUUUUAUGGUUUAUAUUGUGUUCAAUUGUGUGGUUUUAUCAAAUCUUUACCCACUUAUUCAUAUGAUUAGCAUGUAUUUACAAUUCCUUCCCAAAAUUACUCCAUGGUUGAAAACUUGCUUCCUAGAGACUUUUAAUUAUGUAUUUUAAUUCUCCUUUAUUCCAGUCGAUGCCGUGAUCCGUGUGUUAAGUGUUUCAGGCUUUUUAGGGCAUGAAUGACUUGGAAAUUAGAGAGGAGGCUUGCAAAAAUGGAAGGAACACAAGAAAUUGAGGAGAUGACCAGCGAGAAGUGACGUAGGUGCAUGGAUCACGCGACUGCGCGAAAUAGAGAAAAUUGUAGUGACGCGCUCGUGCGCCUGACGCGAACGCAUGGAUUGGAAACUGCACAAGUGACGCGAAUGCGUGGACGACACGCACGCGUGGCAAGGCAAAACGCUGGAUGACGCGAACGCGUGGAUGACGCGAUCGCGUGACGUGCGCGAUCUGCAAAAUUUGCAGAAUUCGCUGGGGGCGAUUUUGGGCCAUGUUUUGACCCAGUUUUCGGUCUAGAAAAGCAGAUUAGAGCCAGGGAACAUGCAGAGACCGGAGGGAGAUUGAUCCCGCAUAAUUUUUAGUUUUCGAUAUGAUUUUACUCCUCCUCUAGGUUUUCUCUCUACACAUUCAUAGUUCUUAGGAUUUUGUUUUUAUUACUUUUUUGGAUUGGGAUAUUGAGAAGAGUUAUUACCUCCGCCAAGACUUCAUCAUUCUAGAUGAAUAGAAAUAGACUUCCAACUUGCUUGACUUUCCUCUACCUGGUAAAGGAUAACUAAGCAGAACAACCUUCAAUUAUCAAUUAAUCUUGGGAGAACUCCAACAAGGAUAGACUUUCCGACUAAUCUACUCCCGGUCAAGAUUUUUAUUUAAAUUACAUAAAUUCUCUGAUUUAAUUUUCCGUUUAUCAAACUCAAAACCAUUUUCAAAACAUCUGAUUAAUAAAAUAGCACAUCUUUCUGCAUCUCGUUGGGAGACGACCUGGGAUUCAUACUCCCAGUACUUUAAUUCUAAUUUUGUGACAACCCUUCUAAAUUGAUAAGCGGAUUUUUGUUGGUUAAGAACUGUACUUGCAACGUAUCUCUUACAUUAAUUUCUUAAUCCGCCAAUUUCCGCCACGUCAAUCAUCAAGGUCGAUGAAAAAGAGAAAACUUUUCCAGCAAGGGACAUUGCGUGGUUCACUAACCGCUACUGUGAGCAGAUAUUCCCCAUCCUGGCUGAGAUAAACUAUAACAAUGAGCACCUUCUCAUUCUCCCAACCCACAUUGUUGAAAUUGUUGAGCCCUGUAUUGAGCAAAAAUAAUGGGAAUUCCUACGGAGACAGCCACGGCAGGUUAACCUUUCAUGGGUAGUAGAAUUCUACUCCAAUUUUCACAUUCCAACCAUGCAGUCUGUCUAUGUCUGUCAGAAGCAAGUUCCCAUAACUGAAGAGGCCAUUCAAAGAGCUUUAGAUCUCGCCUCUGCACCAGAAGGAUUGGACGCAUUCUAAGAAGCCUCAUUCAAAUGCUAGACAUACCAAUUUGACUGGGAUGCCAUUCUCAGAGUUAUAGCACAACCUGGCAGCAGAUGGAUCUAUGGAUACCAUCGAUCUCGACCUAAGAGCAUAUUAGCUUCAACACUCACCUUAGAGAUCACGGGCAUGGCUAUUCUACUCUGGUGUAUCCUUACAGACCAGCACCUCAAUUUACUAAGACACAUUCGACAUGCUAUGGGACACAUACAGAUCAUGGGCAACCUACCUUUUCCUACCCUGGUUUCAGAUCUAGUCUCAGCAGCCGGAGUCUCCGACAGAGCUGGAGACACUAAGGCCAUGAUUCUAAGGGAUGAUCAGAUAGUCCCUAACGGAAAAUAUAUCAGACCUCCAGCAACCACUGCUAGUCGGCCUGCAGACACGACUGAAGAUAUUCCUUCUCCUUCCACAUUACAAGCACCUUCAACAAACCAACUGCUCCAUCAAAUACUUGAGAGGCUAGACUGGCUUGACCGGAAAGGAAAGCAAAGGGAACGCCGUAACAAGUGCCGAUUUACAUACCUCAAGGAGCUGCUUAUUGGUAACCGCCCACCUGAAGAAGAACCAGACACUCCGGACUCCACUUCAUUUACCAGCACAGGGAGCCAUGACGGUCCCGAUUGUGGAGAUGCUGCUACCAGCCCCCCGUUGUUCCUGAUUGAUGGCGCCGAGGACGUUGCCAAGCUUUAAGUGUGGGGAGGUCGGUCAGUAUCUGACUUCCGGAGGUAAUUUCUCUUCCUUAACACCAAUAGAAUAGGAUAUUUAUUUAAUUUUUCAGUUGUUAGGAUAGGAUAAAAUUGUAUAGUAAUAGGUUACUUGCAUGCAUGUUCUAACAUGCAUAUGAUUGAGGCCAUUAUUUUAUUAACUCACUUAUCCCAAAUAGCUUACCCUUUUAAUCACCUUUGUUAGCCAAUUUGAGCCUUUUAAUCCCAUUUAUUCUAUAUUUUACCACAUCACUAGCUUUAAACGGAAAAACAAGUAAUACCCCAAAUUGAAUCUUUGGUUAGCUUAAGAUAAAGAUUGUGUGUCAAUCAAGUGUGGAAAAACUGUGGGAACAUGGGUUAACAAAGAAAUGUGUUAUAUUUUUAAUUUGAUAAAAUAUUGGAAAUUUGGGUACCUACUCAUGUGAAACUAGAAGAAUUAUAAAUCCAUGUGCAUUGAUAAGCUAUGUUUAUGUUUCUAUUUUAUUUAAAAAAAAUCCAAAAAUAUUUAAGCAAUUAAGCAAUUAAAUAAAUGAAAAAAGGGACAAAGUUACCCCAAUGCUAAGUUAAGUUUAAUGAAAAAUCAAUGCAUUUGUGAUACAAGUUAAGAGAAAAGUUGAUGCAUGAGCAUGUAAUAUAAAAGUGGGAAAAUCUUGGGUAGCUAGGCAUGAUUUAAGAAAAAUAUAGCGUAUGUAUGUUAGGUGAUAGCUUAGGUUGAUCAAGGAUUCAAUUUAUAGCUUACUUAGCCAUAUAUAUAUACCCUCACCUUUACCUUGGCCCCAUUACAACCUUGAAAAGACCUCAUGAUGUUUGUAUUGGUACAUUAAAUACUUGUUGAUUGGUUAGGUGAAGAACAAGGUUUAGAAAGUAUGAUUAGAGAAGAAUAGAGUGAAUUACCCUAUACACUAGAGUGACUAGAUUGCAUAUACACCAUCAGUAAGGGGUUCAAUGCUUAAUUAUAUGUUCCCUGCUUUAAUGAGCUGUCUUUCUACAAGUUUACUUGUUUUUACUGUAUAAUUUGAAUUAGUAGAAUUUGAUUUAUUUUUGUCCUGAAGAACUUAUUUAUUUUUAACCAAGUAGACAAAAUCAUUUAAACAUAUAGUUGCAUACAUAGGUUGCAUUGCAUUGCAUGAGUCUUACUUUUCCCUACUCAUUCAUUUUAUCUCCUUAAGCUAAGCAUGAGGACAUGCUAAUGUUUAAGUGUGGGGAGGUUGAUAAACUACUAUUUUAUGGUUCAUCUUGUGUUUUAUUGAGUGGUUUAAUCAAGUCUUCACCCACUUAUUCAUACUAAUUGCAUGAUAUUAUAAUUCCUUCCUAGUUUUGUUCUAUGAUUGAAAACUUGCUUCCUAAAGACCUUUAAUUUAUGUAUUUUAAUUCUCCUUUAUACCAUUCGAUGUCGUGAUCCGUGUGUUAAGUGUUUCAGGCUUCAUAGGGCAGGAAUGACUUAGAAAAUAGAGAGGAAACUUGCAAAAAAGGAAGGAACACAAGAAACUAAGGAGAUGACCAGCGAACACUGACGCACGCGCAUAAGUGACGCGAGCGCGCGGAAUGAAGAAAAUUGCAUCGACGCGUGCGCGUGCCUGACGCGUACGCGUGGAUUGGAGUCUGCACGAAUGACGCGAACGCGUGGACGACGCGUACGCGUGACAAGGAAAAUAGCUGAAUGACGCGCACGUGUGGACGACGCGUACGCAUGACCUGUGCGAUCUGCAGAAUUAAUAGAAAAUGCUAGGGGCAAUUUCCUGCCGCGUUUUAACCCAGUUUUCAGCCCAGAAACACAAAAUAAAGCCAGGGAACAUGCAGAGACUCGACACAAAUUAGAUUCACAUCAAUACACAUACAAAUAUUCACAUUAGGAUAGUUUUUAGGUUUUUAGAUCUGAAUUUAGAGAGGAUUACUUUCCCUCUAGGUUCUCUUUACAUUCAUAGUUAAUUAGUUUUAUGCUUCUGGAUAUUGAAGAGUCAUUACCUCUGUUGAAAACACUAUUCGAGUUUGUUUCCUUACUCUUUUAUUUAUUCCAUAUUCUUAAUUCUUGUUUAAAGUAGUAAUUGGAUUAUUUUCAUGGAUUGUUAAUGCAAAGGAUUACUUUUACUUUUAAUUAAUUUAAUUUAAUUUAUCAUGUCUUCUUCUUAUAUUUUUAUGAGCAUUAUAUUCAUGUCAAUGGAGUAGAUUCCAUGCUUGACAUGGGGAUUGAUUAAAAGGAGACACUUGAGUUAGAAGGCUUAAGUGCUAAUAAAUUGGACGUUGUUGGCUAGUUCUGUAUUUACUAACGUUAGACCUUCCCAAGGGAGAGGACUAGGAUUUGCGAAUAAGAGUUAGCUCAAUUACUUGACUUUUCUUUAUUUAGUAAGGGUUAACUAAGUGAAAACAACAACCUUUUUAAUACUACACUUAAGAGAUACCAACAAGGAUAGAACUUUCAAUUAAACAUUCCCCCAGUCAAGGCUUUUUAUUUAGAAUAUUAAUAAUUAUUCAUAAUUUUUAUUGCUUUAAUUUACAAUUAUUUAAUUUCUCAUUAUUCAACUCUCAAAACUCUCGGAAAAAUUCUUAAUUAAUAAAAUAGCAUCCUUUCUUGCAACUCGUUGGGAGACGACCGCUGGGACUCAUACUCCCAGUAUUUUUAUUCUAACUUUUUGUGACACCUUUUUAAAUUGGUGAGGCGGAUUUUAGCUAGUUAAGAGCUAUACUUGCAACGCUGCUCUCUUAUUUAAAAUCUCUUAAUUGGCCUAACUUCUGCCACGCAUCACUCUUACUUGGAGAAUAUGUUAGAUGCUCUCUCUACUACUUCGAUAAUCACCAUUAAGAUAAUAAUCAAUCCAAAUAUGAGAUAACUUUUCACUCAAUAAGGGAAUAACACGUGAUCAAUUUAUCUUCAAGAGAUGACAAGAUCACCCUUUCUACUUUAUAAAUACUACAAUAAUCAGGUAUUUUUUUUAAUAUAAUUUCAUUCAAGUCUGCUAAAAUUUUUACUAAAUUAAGUAUCAGAACUCUUUCACGGUACCCCAACCUAGAUGAGGACGUCAGAAAAAUCACCCUCUUGAGGAGCGAGUUGAAAAUAUUCCUUAGAUGUUUUGACCUCAUGUUCAAAUCCAAAACACUAUACAAUUUCAAGUAAUUUAUGGAACAGCUAGAUAUUAGGGUGGUUUAUUUGUUAACAUGUUUAUUUUUAAUUUUUUUUCUUUUAGUGAUCAAGUGAGGUAGGACCAUUAUUAAAAAUAAUAUCACAAAAAAAAAGUAAUUACAAUAAUAUAACUGGUUAGAGAAUAAUGUGUGACGUUAAGUGCUGCACGUGCAUGAUGAUAUAGCCAGUUUAACAUUAUAUAUAACAAAAUAAUUGAUUGAUGUGUCAUGUUACAUCAAUAUUCAAUUAAUCAUUUUGUGACAUGUUAAUCUAUCACGUCAUCAUGUUACGAGACCCUUAACAUUAUUGUCAUUAUGUGACUGACGAAAAGAUCAAUAUGACUACUAAAAUUUUUUAAAGACCAAUUUAAAAAAUAAAUUAUUUUUUAUAGGCAAAUUUAAGGAUUUAUUUCUCCUAACUCUAAAUUAUUAUUUAUUACAUUAUCAUAAAUCAGACUCCUACUAAAGGCACUACAUCAAAAAAUGUUAAUUACUAUUGCAUAAAUUAAUUAUGAUUGAUUACCAACAAAUUUCAAAUCAUGCAUUUUAUUAUGGGUUCAACUAGUAUGUGCCAUAAAGGCACAUUUUAAAAUUUUUAGUUAGAAAAGUUAAUUUAAAUUUUUAGUAUAUUUAUUGUUUAUUUAUUUAAGAAAACAAAUUAAUAAUUUCUACUAAUGAUUAGUGUAAUAUCUGCUUUUAUUAUGGUACAAUUUAGUUAAACUCUUGUAUUAUUAUCAAACCCACCUUAGCCCUGUUGGCAUAGGAUAACACUAACUCUAUAAAUGAGUACUCAAUUCAAUCCAACUCGUUCUGUAGGAUUGAGAGCAUAGUGGGUUAAAUUGGGGGUAGGGUUAAGAACCCUAACCGACCUAUUCGCAUCCGUAAUAAAUUAAAGGUUGAAUUAUUUUAUUGAUCUCUAUAGUUUCACAAAAUUUUUAAUUAGGUCUCUAUAUUUUUUUUUCUUUUAAUUGGAUUCCUGCACCAAUUUUUUUUUUCAUUUUGAUCCUUUUUUACAGUAAUUAAUUUAUAGUCCAUACUUUCCUCGAGUUGAGAUCACGCAAACUGGCAUUUAACACCAAGUCUCUACCCUAUUCUGGCGUUAAACGCUAGAACUGGCAUAAAAGUUGGAGUUAAACGCCCAAACUGGCACAAAAGUUGAAGUUAAACGCCAGGAGCAGCCUAUGCACAUGAAAGCUUCAAUGCUCAGCCCAAACACACACCAAGUGAGCCCCGGAAGUGGAUUUCUGCACUAUCUAUCUUAGUUUACUCAUUUUCUGUAAACCUAGGUCACUAGUUUAGUAUAAAAACUACUUUUAGAGAAUUACUAUGGACCUCGUGACAUUUCACAUCUGACUUUUGUAUCUUCUACAGCAUGAGUCUCUAAAUUCUAUGGUUGGGGGUGAGGAGCUCUGCUGUGUCUCGAUGGAUUAAUGCAAUUACUACUAUUUCUCAUUCAAUCACGCUUGUUUCUAUUAUAAGAUAUUCAUUCGUACUUCAACAUGACGAAUGUGAUGAUCCGUGACACUCAUCACCAUUCUCAACCUAUGAACGCGUGCCUGACAACCACUUCUGUUCUACCUUAGAUUGAAUGUAUAUCUCUUGGGUACCUGGUUCACGAGUUUGACUGCCUCUCCUGACAACAGAGCAUUCAAAUCCAUGAGAUCAGAGUCUUUGUGGUAUAAGCUAGAAUCAAUUGACAGUAUUCCUGAGAUCCGAAAAGUCUAAACCUUGUCUGUGGUAUUCCGAGUAGGAUCCGGGAAUGGAUGACUGUGACGAGCUUCAAACUCAUGAAUGCUGGGCGCAGUGACAGUGUGAAAAAGGAUCAAUGGAUCCUAUUCCAACAUUAGUGAGAACUGACAGAUAAUUAGCCAUGUACAUGGACCCUUUUCACUGAGAGGACGGCUGGUAGCCAUUGACAACGGUGAUCCACCAACAUACAGCUUGCCAUGGAAGGAGACCUACGUGCGUGAAGAAGAAGGCAGUAGAAAAGCAGAAAUUCCGAAGACAGAGCAUCUCCAAAACCUCAACAUAUUCUCUAUUACUGCAUAACAAGUAUUAUUUAUUUUAUGUUAUUUACUCUUCAUAAACCCAAUUAUUUUUAUUACUAAUUUCCUGACUAAGUUACAAAAUAACCAUAGCUUGCUUCAAGCCAACAAUCUCCAUGGGAUCGACCCUUACUCACGUAAGGUAUUACUUGGAUGACCCAGUGCACUUGCUAGUUAGUUGUGCGGAAUUGCAAAAGUGUGAUUGUGAUUUUGUGCACCAAGUUUUUGGCGCCGUUGCCAGGGAUUGUUCGAGUUUGAACAACUAACGGUCUAUUUUGUUGCUUAGAUUAGGAAAAUUCUUCUUUUUGGUUUAGAGUCUUCCGUUUGAGUUUAGUUUCAUAUUUUAAGUUUGGUGUCAAUUGGAUAAGUUUAUUUUUCUUUCAUUAUUUUUUCGAAUUAUUAGUGCUCAGAGUAUAAAAAUUUUUAAGUUUGGUGUCCUUUGUGUUUCUGUUUUCUUAAAAAAAAAUUUCAAAAAGUUGCUCUCAGUGUUCAUCUUGAUAUUCAAAGUUUUCCAGUUUGUUUUCUUUGUUUUGAUCUAAAAAUUCUAGGUUUGGUAUUAUUUUAUUGUUUUUCUCUCUUCUCAUUAAAUUUAAAAAUAUAUUUCAUAUUUAUUUAAUUGAAUUUUCGAAAAUUUCAUUUAAAAAUUCAGAUUUUUAUUUUAAAAUUUUUUAUUCUAUCUCAUCUUAGUUUUGAAAUUUCAAAAUUCAAAAUCAUUUUCAAAAAUUUUCUUAAUUAAUUAAUUAUUCUAGUUUUCGAAUUUAUUUUUUUUCCCUUUUUUCUGUUAUUUUUCAAAAUUUUAUAUUUUAAUUUCCAAAUAUUUUAUUUCAUCUUAUUUUUUUAUUUAUGCGGUUUGUUUUUAAUUAAAUAAAAUAAAAAUAAAAAUAUAUUUUAAUUACAUUUCACAUCAAUUCCCUUUUCUCCAUCAUGGACCAAAGUGGAAAUGAACAUUCCAGAAGGACUCUGGGGUCAUAUGCUAACCCCAUUACUACUGCAUAUGGGAGUAGUAUCUGUAUACCUCCUCAUCUUAUUUUUUUAUUUAUUUAUGCGGUUUAUUUUUAAUUAAAUAAAAUAAAAAUAAAAAUAUAUUUUAUUUGUAAUUCACAUCAAUUCUCUUUUCUCCGUCAUGGACCAAAGUGGAAAUGAACAGUUCAGAAGGACUCUGGGGUCAUAUGCUAACCCCAUUACUGCUGCAUAUGGGAGUAGCAUCUGUAUACCUCCCAUCAAAGCGAGCAGUUUUGAGCUAAAUCCUCAGCUCAUUGUCAUGGUGCAGCAAAAUUGCCAGUAUUUCGGUCUUCCACAGGAAGAACCUACUGAGUUUUUGGCACAGUUCUUACAAAUUGCUGACACAGUAUGUGACAAAGAAGUAGAUUAGGAUAUCUACAGAUUAUUACUGUUUCUAUUUGCUCUAAAAGAUCAAGCUAAGAGGUGGUUAAAUAACCAACCCACAGCAAGCAUAAGAACAUGGAAACAGUUAUCAGACAAAUUCCUGAAUCAAUAUUUUCCUCCAAAAAGGAUGACACAGCUAAGACUGAACAUCCAAGGCUUUAAACAAGAGGAUGAUGAAUCCCUUUAUAAUGCCUGGGAGAGGUACAUAGGGAUGCUAAGGAAAUGUCCCUCUGAAAUAUUUUCAGAGUGGGUGCAGUUAGACAUCUUCUACUACGGACUUACAGAAAAAGCUCAGAUAUCUCUAGACCACUCAGCUGGUAGAUCUACACACAUGAGAAAGACUAUUGAAGAGGCUCAAGAGCUUAUUGAUACAGUUGCUAGAAAUAAGCAUCUGUACAUAAGUAGUGAGUCCUCCAUGAAAGAAGAAGCUAAGGUAGUAUCAACUGACUUUAGUCCUUAGGAACAAGUUGCUGAACUCAAUCAGCAACUAUCUUCUAGAACAAGGCAGUUAGCAGAAUUUAAGGAGAUGCUACAAGAAACCAAAAAUGCUAACAAGGAUAUGGAAUCACAAUUGAAUCAGACAAAAUAGCAGUUAUCAAAAUAGAUAACAGAAGAGUGCCAAGCAGUUCAAUUAAGAAGUGGAAAAAUAUUGAAUACCUCAACUCAAAGCAGCAGUAAGCCAAGAAAAGAACAGCUGACAGAGGAUGAGCAACCUGCUACCCAAAAUCCCUCUGAGGACAAUAAUAGCCCAGAGAGGAAUGAUUCUGGCAUUCAAACGCCAGAAAAGGGUAGGAAUCUGGCGUUAAACACCCAUCCAUCCCCCUAUCUUGGCGUUCAAAUGACAAUAAGGGAUCAGAUACCUACAAGUGCUGAUAAUAACUCCCUCAAGAAGGCUUCUCAACCUGCCUCUGUAGGAAAUAAACCUGCAGCAACUAAGGUUGAAGAAUACAAAGCCAAAAUGCCUUAUCCUCAGAAACUCUACCAAGCGGAAUAGGAUAAACAAUUUGCCCGCUUUGCAGAAUAUCUCAGGACUCUUGAAAUAAAGAUUUUGUUUGUAGAGUCACUUGAGAAAAUACCCUCUUAUGCUAAGUUCAUGAAAGAGGUCUUAAGUCAUAAGAAGGAUUGGAGAGAAACUGAAAAAGUUUUUCUCACUGAAGAAUGCAGUGCAGUCAUUCUAACAAGCUUACCAGAGAAGCUUAAGGAUCCCGGAAGCUUUAUGAAACCUUGCACAUUAGAGGGUACUUGUACCAAGACAGCUAUGUGACCUUGGGACAAGUAUCAACCUAAUCCCUACAUCCACUAUCAGAAAUCUUGGCUUGAUUGAAGAGGUCAAACCAACCCGAAUAUGUCUUCAACUUGCUGAUGGCUCCAUUAAAUAUCCAUCAGGCAUAAUUGAGGACAUGAUUGUCAAGAUUGGGCCAUUUGCCUUUCCCACUGACUUUGUAGUGCUGGAAAUAGAGGAGCACAAGAGUGCAACUCUCAUUCUAGGAAGACCCUUCCUAGCAACUGGACAAACUCUCAUUGAUGUCCAAAAAGGGGAAGUGACCCUGAGAGUCAAUGAGGAUGAGUUCAAGUUAAUUGCUGUCAAAGCUAUACAGCAUCCAGACACAUCAAAUGACUGCAUGAGUGUUGAUAUUAUUGACUCCCUGGUAGAGGAGAUCAACAUGGCUGAAAGUCUCGAAUUAGAGCUAGAAGAAAUCUUUAAAGAUGUUCAGCCUGAUCUGGAGGAAUCAGAGGAAAUAAAAGAACCACUGAAAAUUCCUCAAGAAGAGGAGAAACCUCCUAAACCCGAGCUCGAACCACUACCACCAUCCCUGAAAUAUGCAUUUCUGAGAGAAUGUGACACUUUUCCGGUGAUCAUAAGCUCUGCUUUAAAUCCACAAGAAGAGAAAGCACUACUUCAAGUGCUAAGGACACACAAGACAGCUCUUGGGUGGUCCAUAAGUGAUCUUAAGGGCAUCAGCCCAGCAAGAUGCAUGCACAAGAUCCUAUUGGAGGAUGAUGCUAAGCCAGUGGUUCAACCACAGAGGCGGCUAAAUCCAGCCAUGAAGGAGGUGGUGCAGAAAGAGGUCACCAAGUUACUGGAGGUUGGGAUUAUUUAUCCUAUUUUUGAUAGUCCCUGGGUGAGCCCUGUCCAAGUUGUCCCCAAGAAGGGAGGCAUGACAGUGGUUCAUAAUGAAAAGAAUGAACUAGUUCCUACAAGAACAGUUAUAGGGUGGCGUAUGUGUAUUGACUACAGAAGGCUCAAUACAGCCACCGGAAGGAUCACUUUCCUUUACCAUUCAUAGACCAGAUGCUAGAGAGACUAGCAGGUCAUGAAUAUUAGUGCUUUUUGGAUGGCUAUUCAGGCUACAACCAAAUUGCAGUAGAUUCUCAGGACCAAGAGAAAAUAGCAUUCACAUGUCCUUCUGGAGUAUUUUCCUACAGAAGGAUGCCUUUUGGUCUGUGCAAUGCACCUGCAACCUUUCAGAGGUGUAUGCUCUCUAUCUUCUCUGAUAUGGUAGAGAAAUUUCUGGAAGUCUUCAUGGAUGACUUCUCAGUAUUUAGAGACUCAUUCAGCUCCUGCCUUGACCAUUUAGCACUUGUUCUGAAAAGGUGCCAAGAGACCAACCUAGUUUUAAACUGGGAAAAAUGUCACUUUAUGGUGACUGAAGAAAUUGUCCUUGGGCAUAAAAUUUCAAACAAGGGAAUAGAGGUGGAUCAAGCUAAAGUAGAGGUAAUUGAAAAAUUACCACCACCUGCCAAUGUUAAGGCAAUCAGAAGCUUUCUGGGGCAUACAUGAUUCUAUAGGAGGUUUAUAAGGGAUUUUUCAAAAAUUGUAAAAUCUCUUAGCAAUCUGCUAGCUGCUGACACGCCAUUUGUGUUUGACACAGAGUGUCUGCAGGCGUUUGAAACUCUGAAAGCUAAGCCGGUCACAGCACUAGUUAUUUCUACACCAGACUGGACAUUACCAUUCGAACUAAUGUGUGAUGCUAGUGACCAUGCCAUUGGUGUAGUAUUGGGACAGAGGCAUAACAAGCUUCUGCAUGUCAUUUAUUAUGCUAGCCGUAUUUUAAAUGAUGCGUAGAAAAAUUACACAACCACAGAAAAAGAGCUGCUUGCAGUGGUUUAUGCCAUUGACAAGUUUAGAUCAUACUUAGUAGGAUCAAAAGUGAUUGUGUACACUGACCAUGCUGCUCUUAAAUAUCUACUUAUAAAGCAGGAUUCAAAACCCAGGCUCAUAAGAUGGGUGUUUCUUCUGCAAGAGUUUGAUAUAGAAUUAAGAGACAGAAAAGGGACAGAGAACCAAGUGGCUGAUCAUCUGUCCCGGAUAGAACCAGUAGAAGGGGCGUCCUCCUCCUCUAUUGAGAUCUCUGAAACCUUUCCGGAUGAGCAAUUAUUUGCCACUCAGGAAACACUAUAGUUUGCAGACAUUGCAAACUAUAAAGCUGUAAGAUUCACACCCAAAGAGUAUAGCAGGCAGCAAAUAAAGAAAUUGAUCUCUAAUGCAAAGUACUACUUAUAGGAUGAACUAUAUCUCUUUAAGAGAUGUGCAGACGAAAUAAUCCGUAGAUGUGUGCCCAAGGAAGAGGCACAGAAGAUCUUAUGGCAUUGCCAUGGAUCACAAUAUGGAGGCCAUUUUGGAGGUGAGCGAACAGCCACCAAGGUUCUCCAAUGUGGCUUCUACUGGCCUACUCUCUAUAGAAACUCCCUAGAGUUUGUACGUAAUUGUGACAGCUGCCAGAGAGCUGGUAAUCUGCCUCAUGGUUACGCCAUGCAUCAACAAGGGAUCUUGGAGAUUGAGUUGUUUGAUGUAUGGGGUAUUGACUUCAUGGGGCCUUUCCCACCAUUAUACUCAAACACAUAUAUUCUGGUGGCAGUAGACUAUGUAUCUAAAUAGGUAGAGGCAACUACAACACCCACUAAUGAUACUAAGAUAGUGCUGAAAUUCCUCCAGAAACAUAUCUUCAGCAGGUUUGGUGUCCCUAGAGUACUAAUUAGUGAUGGGUGCACUCAUUUCUGCAAUAAACAGCUUUACUCUGCUAUGGUCCGAUAUGGAAUUAGCCACAAAGUAGCAACUCCAUAUCAUCCACAGACAAAUGGGCAGACUGAAGUCUCUAAUAGAGAACUAAAAAGAAUCCUGGAACGGACUGUAAUUGUCCGUAGAAGGGAUUGGGCAAAAAGCUUGGAUGAUGCUCUGUGGGCAUACAAAACAACGUUCAAGACUCCUAUAGGAACCUCUCCAUACCAGCUUGUGUAUGGCAAAGCCUGUCAUCUGCCCGUGGACUGGAGCAUAAGGCCUACUGGAAAACUAGAUUCCUAAACCUAGAUGCUAAGUUAGCUAGAGAGAAGAGAUUACUCCAAUUAAAUGAGCUAGAGGAAUUCAGACUCAAUGCUUUCGAAAAUACAAAAAUUUACAAUGAGAAAGCAAAAAGGAGGCAUGAUAAAAAACUGUCAUCCAGAGUCUUUGAACCAGGACAGAAGGUUCUACUGUUUAACUCUAGACUCAGAUUAUUCCCUGGGAAAUUAAAAUUCCGGUGGAGGGGACCAUAUGUGAUUACAAGUGUGUCACCAUAUGGAUAUGUAGAGCUUCAAGAUAUUGACUCUGAUAAAAAGUUCAUUGUUAAUGGACAGAGAAUCAAACAUUAUCUUGAAAGCAAUGUUGAGCAAGAAUGCUCAAAACUGAGACUAGAUUAAAAGCUCAGUAAGGUCCAGCUAAAGACAAUAAAGAAGCACUUACUGGGAGGCAACCUAGCCAUUACCAAAGUUUAUUUAUUAUUCAAAUAAUAAUAAUUAUAAGAGUUUGAUAUAAAUCAUCUUCAAGGUUAAUUAUCAAUUGUAGGAGUUCACAGAGUUACAGAAUGAUUCAAAGCAUAAAAUAGAGAAAAGGAGCUCACUGGCACAAAAACGCCAGUAAGGGGUAUUUUGGGCAUUAAACGCCAGAAUAGGCACCAUUCUGGGCGUUUAACGCCCAGUGAUAAAGGCUUUCUGGUCUGGCGUUUAACACCAGCCAGGGUACCUGGCUAGGUGUGAAACGCCCAAAAGAAGAAAUAAAUGGGCGUUAAACGCCAGAAUGGGUGCCAUUCUGGGCGUUUAACGCCAGGAAUAUGGAGGGGAGGAAGUUUUGUUUCCAACUCAAUUUUUUUUCAAAUUUUCAUGGUUCCAUCCAAAAUUUCUUGCAUAAACAUGUUACAAAUUAUCAUCUUUCAAUUUCAAUUUCAAAAAAAAAAAAAACAAAUUAAAAAUAAUUUUUUCUUUAAUCCUAAAAAUCUUUCUCAAAUCUUCUUCAAUUUCUUUUCAAAUCUUUUUCAAAACUCAUCUAUCUUUUUAAUUUCUUCUCAAAUAUUUUUCAACUCAUCAUACUAUCUUUUCAAAUUCAGAUUUAUCUUUUUCAAAUCUCUCAUAUCUUUUCAAUUUUAAAAUUUCAUCUUUUUCAUAUCAUAUUUAUCUUUUACAAAUCAUAUCUUCUAUCAUAUCUUUUUCAAAAUUUUUGAACCCACCCCCUCCCUUAUAAAUUCACACUCGGCCUCCCCCUCUCAUCCAUAACUCGAAUUUGACUCUCCUUCUAUUCCUCUCAUUUCCUUUCUUUUACUUGAGGACAAGCAAACCUCUAAGUUUGGUGUGUUUUUCGUGAACGUUGAGCUAAGAUUCAUUAAGAUCAUGGCUCCUAAGGAAAAACAAACCACUUCAAGAGGCAAGAAAGAGAACACUCCAAAACCACUUUGAAAUCAAGAGAGGUUCUUAACCAAAGAACAUGCAGACCAUUACCACAAAAUAAUGGGUCUAAGGUCAGUGAUCUCAGAAGUUAAAUUCGAUCUGAAAGAAGAUGAAUAUCCGGAGAUCCAAGAGCAGAUUCGAAACAGGGGCUGGGAAAAUCUAGCUAAUCCUGAGACAAAGGUGGGUAGAAACAUGGUUUAGGAAUUCUACUCAAAUCUGUGGCAAACAGAUAAGCAGAGAAUGACUGGAACCGCCUUCUAUACCUUUCGAACCAUGGUCAGAGGGAAGAUUAUUUACUUCCACCUGGACAAAAUAAGAGAGGUCUUCAAGCUACCUCAACUACAAGAUGAUCCAGAAUCCUUUAAUAGGAGAAUGGUGAGAUUAGCUAAGUACUUGGACCAAGUUCUAGAGGACAUAUGCAUCCCUGGAACCAAGUGGAUAACCAACAGAAAGGGUGUCCCAAAUCAACUCAAGAGAGGAGAUCUCAAACCAGUUGCUAGGGGCUGGCUGGACUUCAUUGGGCGUUCUAUACUGCCCACCAGCAACCGCUCUGAAGUCACUGUCAAAAAAGCAGUGAUGAUCCACUGCAUUAUGCUGGGAAACGAAGUGGAGAUUCAUCAUCUGAUUUCUUGUGAGCUUUACACAAUUGCAAACAAGAACUCCACUGACGCCAAAUUGGCUUACCCAAGCUUAAUCUCUCUGCUAUGUAAAGAUGCUGGGGUAAAGAUGGGAGUGGAUGAGUAUAUCUCAGUCGAGCACCCAAUCACCAAAAAGUCAAUGGACGAACAACAAGUGCAAGAUAACUCCAUCAAAAGGACGGCACAGGAGUUCAUCCCAGAAAUCCCUCAGAUUGACUACUGGACCCGCCUAGAAGCAUCUGUCACCAAGUUGUAAGAAGCUAUGGAUCAACUAAAAGAAGAACAGCAAAUUCAAAAUAGCAUGCUCUGUAAACUGCUGAAGGAACAAGAGAAGCAAGGGCAUGAGCUAUAGGAGCUGAAGCGCCAGAAGCUAUCUCUUGAAGAACCAGACACCCCCACGGAUUGAAGGAGCAUCCAUCUCCCAAAAUAAAGGUUGUUGAGCCCUAAUCUUAACUCUGUGAUAACUUUUGCUAUUAGAGAUCUACCUUAGGAGUCACAUGAAUAAUAGUAAUUAGUAUCUUUAUUUUUAUUUUUUAUUUUUUUAUUCUCUCCAAGUAAGCUAUAAAUUAUUUUUCUCAUCAUCAUUAAACAUGAAUAAGAUAGCAGAUUUUUUUUAGAAUAAGGAGGCAGUUUUAUUUUCGAGUUCUUAAUAAGAAAAUUUCAAAUUAUUUAUAUGUGGUGGCAAUACUUUUUGUCUUCUGAAUGAAUGCUUGAACAGUGCAUAAUUUUUGAUAGUGAAGUUUAUGAAUGUUAAAUUUGUUGGCUCUUGAAAGAAUAAUGAAAAAGGAGAAAUGUUAUUGAUAAUCUGAAAAAUCAUAAAAUUGAUUCUUGAAGCAAGAAAAAGCAGUGAAUACAAAGCUUGCGAAAAAAAAUGGCAAAAAAUAAAAGAAAAAGAAAAAGAAAAAGCAAGCAGAAAAAGCCAAUAGCCCUUUAAACCAAAAGGCAAGGGUAAAAAGGAUCCAAGGCUUUGAGCAUUAAUGGAUAGGAGGGCCUAAAGGAAUAAAAUCCUGGCCUAAGCGGCUAAACCAAGCUGUUCCUAACCAUGUGCUUGUGGCGUGAAGGUGUCAAGUGAAAAACUUGAGACUGAGCGGUUAAAGUCGUGGUCCAAAGCAAAAAGAGUGUGCUUAAGAACUAUGGACACCUCUAACUGAGGACUUUAGCAAAGCUAAGUCACAAUCUGAAAAGGUUCACCCAGUUAUAUGUCAGUGGCAUUUAUGUAUCCGGUGGUAAUAUUGGAAAACAAAGUGCUUAGGGCCACGACCAAGACUCAUAAAGUAGCUGUGUUCAAGAAUCAACAUACUAAACUAGGAGAAUCAAUAACACUAUCUGAAUUCUGAGUUCCUAUAGAUGCCAAUCAUUCUGAACUUCAAAGGAUAAAUUAAGGUGCCAAAACUAUUCAGAAACAAAAAGCUACUAGUCCCGCUCAUCUAAUGAGAAUUUGAGCUUCAUAUAAAACUCUGAGAUGUUAUUGCCUCUUGAUUUUCUUUCUAUCCUAUUUUAUUUAUCUAGUUGCUUGUGAAUAAGCAACAGUUUAAGUUUGGUGUUGUGAUGAGUGGAUAUUUUAUACGCUUUUUGGGGGUAUUUUCAUAUAGUUUUUAGUAGGAUCUAGCUACCUUUUAGUAUAUUUUUAUUAGUUUUUAUGCAAAAAUCACAUUUUUGGACUUUACUAUGAGUUCGUAUGUUUUUCUAUGAUUUCAGGUAUUUUCUAGCUGAAAUUGAGGGACCUGAGAAAAAAUCUGAUUCAGAUGCUGAAAAAGGACUGCAGAUGCUGUUAGAUUCUAACCUCCCUACACUCGAAAUGGAUUUUCUGGAGCUAAAGAAUCCCAAUUGGCGUGCUCUCAAUUGCGUUGGAAAGGAGAUAUCCUGGGCUUUCCAGCAAUAUAUAAUAGUCCAUACUUCGCUCGAGUUGAGAUCACGCAAACUGGCGUUUAACGCCAAGUCUCUACCCUAUUCUGGCGUUAAACGCCAGAACUGGCAUAAAAGUUGGAGUUAAACGCCCAAACUGGCAUAAAAGCUGGAGUUAAUCGCCAGGAGCAGCCUAUGCACGUGAAAGCUUCAAUGCUCAGCCCAAACACACACCAAGUGGGCCCCGAAAGUGGAUUUCUGCACUAUCUAUCUUAGUUUACUCAUUUUUUGUAAACCUAGGUCACUAGUUUAGUAUAAAAACUACUUUUAGAGACUUACUAUGGACCUCAUGACAUUUCACAUCUGACUUUUGUAUUUUCUACAGCAUGAGUCUCUAAACUCCAUGGUUGGCGGUGAGGAGCUCUGCUGUGUCUCGAUCGAUUAAUGCAAUUACUACUAUUUCUCAUUCAAUCACGCUUAUUUCUAUUCUAAGAUAUUCAUUCGUACUUCAACAUGAUGAAUGUGAUGAUCCGUGACACUCAUCACCGUUCUCAACCUAGGAACGCGUGCCUGACAACCACUUCUGUUCUACCUUAGAUUGAAUGUAUAUCUCUUGGGUACUUGGUUCACGAGUUUGACUGCCUCUCCUGACAACAGAGCAUUCAAAUCUGUGAGAUCAGAGUCUUCGUGGUAUAAGCUAGAAUCAAUUGGCAGCAUUCCUGAGAUCCGGAAAGUCUAAACCUUGUCUAUGGUAUUUUGAGUAGGAUCCGGAGAAGGGAUGACUGUGACAAGCUUCAAACUCAUGAAUGCUAGGCGCAGUGACAGUGUGCAAAAGGAUCAAUGUAUCCUAUUCCAACAUCAGUGAGAACCGACAGAUGAUUAGCCAUGUACAUGGACCCUUUUCACUGAGAGGACGGCUGGUAGCCAUUGACAACGGUGAUCCACCAACAUACAGCUUGCCAUGGAAGGAGACCUGCGUUCGUGAAGAAGAAGACAGUAGAAAAGCAGAAAUUCAGAAGACAGAGCAUCUCCAGAACCUCAACCUAUUCUCUAUUACUGCAUAACAAGUAUUAUUUAUUUUAUGUUAUUUACUCUUCAUAAACCCAAUUAUUUUUAUUACUAAUUUUCUAACUAAGAGUUACAAAAUAACCAUAGCUUGCUUCAAGCCAACAAUCUCUGUGGGAUCGACCCUUACUCACGUAAGGUAUUACUUGGACGACCCAGUGCACUUGCUGGUUAGUUGUGCGGAAUUGCAAAAGUGUGAUUGUGAUUUCGUGCACCAGUUAUUCUUGAGGAUUCCAAAGUGAUUUUCUUCCCAGCACACUUCAUCACUAGUACAUCCUUGUUUAAUUGUAGUUUCAUCAGUCCAUUCAAAACUCUUGCGAAGACUAUCUUGUUACUUUUCCUUCUUUUCUCUGGUCUUGUAUCUUUCUGAAUAAACUCGAGGAUUGCUUUAAAGUCACGUAUGCCCUCUAGGCGUAGCAUGCGAAAAGUUUCUUUAGUAUGUUGUUCGUGAAGGUGGAAAGGUAAAGUUUUAAAGUGCGCAGUAUCACAGGAAGCUAUGGAGUUUUAGUUUUCAUGCGAAAGAGUUUUGCACAUGAUUAGACUUGUGACCAGUAGUGGGCGUACGAAGGGAGUGAAGAGGUCGAGAACUCUCGGACGAGUUGUUUGAUAUAGUAUGGUUGGUAAUGGUGGAGAUGCGUCUGGAUGGAGUUGAAAGUUGAAGUUCUGAAGUGGGUAUGAGAUCGGUGAGCAAACAUUUUGCUCGUUGUUUAAAUACCGGCCUGCUUUGUAGCCUUUUGCCACAUUAACUAUAGCCUUGCUUUGUGAAUGCCUAUCUUAUAUCUUCUGCCUUACACAAUACUUUACCCUUAUAUUUAAAUCAUAUAGUUAUGCAGUUAUGUUAAACUUUCUUACUUAUCUAAAAAGCAUUUAGAAAGUAGAGUACCGAUUCUUUAUAUUAUCUUAUGUAUUCCUUCAAUUUUCGAGGACGAAAAUUUUUAUAAGGUGGGUAGAAUGUAAGACCCAAGAUUUUUGAAAAGUCUUAUUAUGAGUCAAUUUCAAUUUAUUUAUUCAUUAAAGAUUUUAGUUUCAGAAAUUAUUUUAUUAAAGUUGUAAAAUCCGGUCAAACCGUAAUUAAUUAAAUAAUAAAUUAAAUAGGAACAAACAUGGUUAGAAAAUUUAGCAAUCAGAAUUCGAUAAUUUAAAUAUGAUAUUUGGACUUAGUAGAUUUUUCUGAGUCGAAAAACAUAGUUUUCUGCGUAAAAAUGUGCACUGGAAAUUUGACAGGCAAUACCAGUUGAGAUCUAUCCGGUACUAUAGCUGAAAAAAUUAAUUAUAAGUGAAUAAAGUUAGGAAAUAAGAAUUUAUAAUUUGGAAAGAUAGAAAUAUUUAAAAUGCGAUUUAAAACUCUAAUCUUAAAGGUUUUGGCCCAAAAUUGGGCCAACGGGUUAAACCAAGUGAAUUGGGUCCAAAUGGGCCCAAGACCCAACAUAUAUAAACCUUAGUUAUGAGCAUUUCAGCUCUUUAACUCUAAAGAAAAAGUGUCGGGGUGCUGAAAUGGAGAAGAGAAGAAGAAGAGAGAAAAUCCUAACUCCAUCAAACUUCAAAUCACCAUAACUUUUGAUCCAAAACUCCGAUUGACGAGCCGUUUACGGCCACACGUCGCUCUUUUUAUUCUCUAAAAUUCUAUCUAAGUUUUUUGGUGUGUAUUCUACUGUAUUUUACCCAGUUUUUGUUUUUCUCUUUAAAUUCGAAUUUGGUUUGAGUUUUAAGGAAAUCUUGUGAUUUUGGUUAUUUAGGGGUGCUCUAGUAUGAGCCAUUAGUUAUAUUUAUCAGAAAAUUCAGUGGGUUAAGGUAAGAAACCUUUCAACCCUUGUGAUUUAUCAUUUUCAUGAACACUAGGUUAAUAUAUAUAUGUGAAAUUGGUUAUGUUAGUGUAUUUGGUGAUUUUGGUGCACAAUGGGAAGAUUCAAUUUGCUUGUGGAACUUUGGUGUGGAGGUUUAAGCUUGUGGGCCUUAGAGAAGAGAAUUUAAGUUUGGUUAUGAACCGCCGUCAGUAACGUACAUUUUAAGUUUCAUUUAAGUACCGUGUAGUGUGAUGAGAAUUCCUAGGCUAGAGCUCCUAGGAUUAAGUUUGGAUUGUGUAAAUGGUUGGUACUAAUAUGUAUAGUUGAUAUAUAAUGUAAAUUAAUGAUUGGGUUGAGAAUUGUGUGAAUUUGUAUGUUUGGUGUGUUGAAAAUUUGCUGAAUUAGAUAAUCAAUAUUAGUUUGUGGAAUAUGCAUUUAAAUUGUGAAUUUAGGCCGGAGGCCGUGAAUCUUGGGCCAGAGGCCAGAAAGAGGUAAGGAAGGUAAGUGAUGUGUGUAUUGUGUGAUGUCAUAUGAGAUUUAAUAGAAUUGUGAUUGUCGUUAUUUGGUUACAUUGGAUUGUAUGGAUUAUGUGGUUAUUGGUGUUGAAGGAGGAAUUGAUGUCUUUGUUGAUAAUGCAUGUGAGUUGUAUACGAUGAUAUGGAUUUGUAUGUAUUGGGGUUUGAUAGAAUUGGUAUUGUUGGAACUUGAAAUGUGGAAUGAAAUAUAUGUUAUGGUAUUUUGUUUGAAAUUGAGUUAUUUGAUUGAGAUUGGUCAAAAUGGUGGAUUGGUGGAUUGUGAAUUUAAUGAGAAUAUUGAAAAAUAUGAGUUGAGGAGGCUUGAGGUUGAUUUUGGUAAGUUUUGGUUGGUUUUGAAAAGGUUUGAAAUUGGUUUGUGCUGAAAAUUUAGUUUUUGUUUGUUUGUAUGAAAGUUGUGAUUUUAGUCUACUAUGACGGAGCAUAACUUGGUCUCUGGAUCCCCGAUUUGUAUCAAACUUAUUUAGAAAUAAAAUUGGAUCCAAGAUGUUUACGCCGUUCAAAGAACGGGUGGAAAAUGAUUGGAAACGAAAAAGUUAUGCCUGUCGGAAAUUUGGGGUUUGAAAAUAUAAUCCUGCAGCUUUUAAACUUAGUAAAAUUUUUGGUAAAACGUACUCCGAAACGUACGCAUGGCCGACGCGCACGCGUCACUCACAACUUUUACACUCUCACGCGUGUGCCUGGCUGACGAGUACAGGUCGCUGUAUUGAUGCAGGUGCGUGGUAUAAAUUCCAGAGAGUUGUGAUAGUAGCGUGCUAGUUUUGUGCGAGGAGCACAAAACGCAUCCACGCGUAUGCGUGGCUGACGCGCACGCGUCACCCUACCUCUCUACUUUCCAUGCGUGCACAUGAGCGACACUUACGUGUCACCCGCUUUUCUCCGCUUCCCAUGCGUGCGUGUGGGCGACGCAGACGCGUGACCCUGUUUUCAGCAAAUAUGAUUUUUGUAUUUUUAAACUGAAUUUCAAACCUUUAAGCCUCCAUUUUCAUUGUUUUAGUCUUAAAUCUUUAUAGUCUACCUAGUAAUGAAAAGAAGCUAGGACAUGUGGUAACUUGUGGAUGAAGUAAAGUGAGAAUCAAUGAUGAAUGAUGAGUAAAGAUGAUUUGUAUGAGUUGUUGAGGAUGAUGGUGAAAGUGCUGGGUAUGUUAUGAGCCGGAUGGCUGUGAUAAGCAUUGAAUUAUGGCUGAGUAUGUAUAUGUUUAUGAUUAAUGAUUAAAUGAUUAUGAUUGAUUGAGGAAGCUUGAACAUGUGGCGAAUAUGCCGGAGAUGCAUAUAUGAUUAAUGAAUGAAUGUGGUAAAUGAAUAAUGAUGGAAAAUGUUGAAUGUGAAUAUGCUUGUGUUUUCUCUCUGGUUGUAAGGGUGACAGGGCACCAAUACUCUCUAAUGGUGACAGGGCACAGAUACCCUCUAAUGGUGACAGGGCACAGAUUCCCUCUAAUGGUAAUAAGGCGCAACAGAGAGAAUGUGCCCGGGUAGUAGGCAGUGGCAUUGUACAUUUGCUCCGGGUAAAUUUCAUUAUUCUCACACUUAGGUAUAUAAUUCGCAUAUUUUACAUUUUUCUUCCUAAUUUUAUACCAUGAUUGAAAACAUGCUUCUUUGGCCUUAAUUUUGCUAAUUUUAAUUCUUCCUUAUUACCAUUCGAUGUUGUGAUAUGUUUGCUGAGUGUUUUCAGGGUUUAUAGGGCAGGAAUGGCUUAGAGAAUGGAAAGGAAGCAUGCAAAAGUUGAAGGAAUACAAGAAAUUAAGGUUUUGGGAAGCUGACAGCGACGCGCACGCGUGGUAUGACGCAUACGCAUGAAUGGCGCAAGAUACAUGCGAUGCGUAUGCGUGGGACGACGUGUACGCGUGACUUAAUUUUUUAUUUAGCAACGCAUACGCGUGAAUGACGCAUACGCGUGACAAAGCGUCAUGUACUGCAGAUAUCAGAAUUCACUGGGGGCGAUUUCUGGGCUCCUUUUUUACCCAGUUUCAGGCCUAAAAAUCCAGAUUAGAGGAUGCAGAGUAGAGCUGGAUGGAGGAAUCAUUCAUUCACUUAUCAUAAUACAACAUUAGUGAGGUUUUAGAUGUAGUUUUCUAGAGAGAGAGAGACUCUCUCCUCUCUCUAGGUUUUAGUGUUUCUUUUAGUUUUAAUUCUCAUCAAAUUCAGGUUUUUCAUAUUGCUUUAAUUUAGUUUCUCUUCUUCAUUUUAUUAUUCUAGCAUCUUAGUUUAUCUUCUCUUGUUGGUUUGUUUAUUUCUCCAAUUUAGUUUAUAAACUCUUCAUGUUACAUUUAAUUUCUUAUUAAUUCAAGUUGAGGUAUUUUAUGUUUAUUGCUUCUUUCUUCAAUUGUUAUUGUUGUCUUGCAAUUGGGUAUCUUAGAUUUUAUUAUCUCUUAUUAGUUCUCUAUGCUUUUAUUUUGUAUCUUCUAAGUGUUUGAUAAAAUGCUUGGAAUGGUUUUAAUUUAGAUUUUUAUGUUCUGAACUUGGAUUAAUUGUUUAGAGACUCUUGAGUUAUCAAAAGUCUUUUGUUGAUUGGUAAUUGAGACUUGCGAGUUAGUUUAGGCUUCACUAAAUCUAGUCUUUGAUUAGGACUUGUAAUCCUAAGUUGAUUUUACUCACUUGACUUACCUUCAUUCUUAGAGGUUAACUAAGUGAAAGCAAAAGGCAAUUACCAUCACAAUUGAUGAUGAUAAUGUGGAUAGGACUUUUAAUUAUCAAUCCUUGCUAAGAGCUUUCUUGGUUAUUAAUUUAUUUUCUUGCUAUUUUACUUUCUUGUUUCUUAUUUCAAAAACCCAAAAAAAUAUACUUUCCCAUAACCAAUAAUAACUACACUUCCCUGCGAUACCUUGAGAGACGACCCGAGGUUUAAUACUUCGGUUUACUUUUAUUGGGUUUGUAUUUGUGACAAACAAUUUAAACAUUGAUUGAGGAUUAAUUGUCGGUUUAGAACUAUACUUGCAACAUAAUGAGAAGGACAAGGCUGACCAAGCUACACCUUCUAACAAGUCAUAUAAGUUUGCCAACUGAUGAGCGGAUAAUUUAUACGCUUUUUAGCAUUGUUUUUAGGUAGUUUUUAGUAUGUUUUAGUUACUUUUUAUUAUAUUUUUAUUAGUUUUUAAAUAAAAAUCACCUUUCUGGACUUUACUAUGAGUUUAUGUUUUUUUCUGUGAUUUCAGGUAUUUUUUGGCUGAAAUUGAGGGACCUGAGCAAAAAUCUAAUUUAGAGGCUGAAAAGGGACUGCAGAUGCUGUUGGAUUUUGAUCUCCCUGCACUCGAAAUGGAUUUUCUGGAGCUACGGAAGCCCAAUUGGCGCGCUCUUAAUUGAGUUGGAAAGUAGACAUCCUGGGCUUUCCAGCAAUACAUAAUAGUCUAUACUUUGCUUGAGAUUUGAUGGCCCAAACUGGCGUUCAAAGUUAACCCAAAGAAUUCUGGCGUAAAACGUCAGAACUGGCACAAAAACCAGCGUUUAACGCCCAAACUGGCACCAGAGUUGGUGUUUAACUCCAAGAAAAGCCUAUGCACAUGAAAGCUUCAAUGCUCAACCCAAGCACACACCAAGUGGGCCUUGAAAAUGGAUUUCUGCAUCAUUUACUUAUUUCUGUAAAUCCUAGGCUACUAGUUCAUUGUAAAUAGGACCUUUUACUAUUGUAUUUUCAUCUUUGGAACAUAUUAUGUAAGUUUAACGUUCUGAGACCUCCAUGGGAGGCUGGCCACUUGGCCAUGUCUACCCUAUUUUUACUUAUGUAUUUUCAAUGGUGGAGUUUCUACACCCCAUAGAUUAAGGUGUGGAGCUCUGCUGUUCUUCAUGAAUUAAUGCAAAGUACUAUUGUUCUUCUAUUCAAUUCAAGCUUAUUCUUAUUCUAAGAUAUUCACUCACACUUCAACCGGAUGAAUGUGAUGAUCCGUGACACUCAUCAUUAUUCUCACUUAUGAACGCAUGCCUGACAACCACCUCCGUUCUAUCUGUAAUAAGUUGAGUGUGUAUCUCUUAGCCUCCUGGUUCACGAUGCAUGGUUGCCUCUCCUGACAACAGAGCCCUCUAUUCCGUGAGAUCAGAGUCUUUGUGGUAUAAGCUAGAAUCAAUUGGCAGCAUUCUUGAGAUCCAAAAAGUCUAAACUUUGUAUGUGGUAUUCCGAAUAGGAUCUGGGAUGGGAUGACUGUGACGAGCUUCAAACAUGCAAGUGUUGGGGGCGUAGUGACAGACGCAAAAGGAUCAAUGGAUCCUAUUCCAACAUGAGUAAGAACCGACAGAUGAUUAGCCCUACGUAACCCGUAGCCGGACCAUUUUCACUGAGAGGACGGACGGUAGCCAUUGACAACGGUGAUCCCCUAACAUACAGCUUUCCAUGGAAGGGAGUACGCAUGAUUGGAUGAAGGCAAUAGGAAAGCAGAGGGUUCAGAAGCAACAAGCAUCUCCAUACGCUUAUCUGAAAUCCUACCAGUAAAUUACAUAAGUAUUUCUAUCUUAUUUUCUGUUUUAAUUACAUUUUAAUCAUCAAAAUCUCAUAACCAUUUGAAUUCGCCUGACUGAGAUUUACAAGGAUGACCAUAGCUUGCUUCAAGCCGGCAAUCUCCGUGGGAUCGACCCUUACCCACGUAAGGUAUUACUUGGACGACCCAGUGCACUUGCUAGUUAGUUGUGCAGAAUUGUAAAAGUGUGAUUGUAAUUUCAUGCACCACCAACCUAUACUGUGAGCUUAGAUUUCUGUACUUUGAUAAGCGAAACCUCAUUGUGGAAAGGAAACUAGCUGUACCCUCUGAUCUGAAGCAGUAUACUGAGCGUCGGAUUGUGGAGAGGGGUUGGGUAUUUCUCGACAGAGAGCUAGUGCGAGUGAACGAGUCUUGGGUCUGGGAGUUCUUUUGCAAUUUCUACCAAGCGACCCUUGAUGCAGUUCAUCUCAGAGACAGGCAGAUUCUGAUUACAGAGGAGGCUAUUGAGGACAUCCUCCACUUUUAGCCUAAGAUCAGUGAUAAGGAUGCCUUCCAUCAGGCUGAGGAGGAUAUUAAAUGCAUGUGUUUUGAUUGGGACGCAGUGCAUCGUACGCUUGCCCUUCCUGAUGCCCCUUAGGAGCAAGGAUCUAAGAAAGAGACUCCGAGAGGCAUUAAAUUCGACUAUCUGACGAAGGAAGCCAAGCUAUGGCAGCAGAUCCUAUGCACCUAUGUCAUGCCUAGUACCCAUUCUACUGAGGUCCCGGCCGAUAUGGUAGUUCUGAUUUGGUGUGUCUUAGAGGGGAAGGAGCUGUACCUUUCACGACUCAUCAGGAGAUACAUGUACCGGGCCAAUAUCAGAGGCAACCUGCCAUUCCCUUGCUUGGUGACACAACUAGCUCACUGGGCUGAGGUACCCUGGGAGCAGGGCGAUGAGGCACCAGCCGCUCACGGUAAAGAAAAGGUUAUCCCUUGGGGUGACUGGUUUGGUGACCGCCCAGUAGCCCAGCGCAGAGACCGAGCGGCCAUAGCAGCAGCUACUGAUGAGCCGACUACUUCUUCAGCUGCAGCAGAACCAUCUGUACCAUCUCGAUCAGCACCUUCAUCUACAUCACAGCCAGUCUACCGCCUUGUGCAGUGCCUCUUUGAGCGCAAGGAUCGGAUGGAGCGGCACUUGUUGCGACGUUAUGAGCAGUCUGAGUGUUGUAACAAGCGACGCUAUACACAUCUGAAGCUGAUUGUGACUUUGGGAUGUACUGACAUCCCCUCGGAGCCUGAUACACCCUCGGAGCACUCUGAGGAUGAGAAGGACGAGCAGGAGGAGGCUCAGCAAGAGGAGACUCAGCAUGGGAUCCCUACAGAGCCACAGGCACCGGCACAGUCACAACCGACAGAGCCGGAGGCACAUCUAGCGACGGACGACGAUAAAGAUGCAGGCGAUGAUCCUUCUCACCCAGCUUGAUUGAGAGCAUCGAGGACGAUGCUGUGAUUUAAGUGUGGGGAGGUCGCCGUCUUCGGUGGAUUACAUUUUGUUGAACCAUUUCAGACUUUUAUUUUAUUUUGCUUUAUUUUGUUUUAUUUUUAGUACUUGCACAUUUUUAUUUUAUUGUACUUUUGUUUAUUUGUGCUUUGUUGCAUUUUGCACUUUGGCUUGUAUAUAUCUUAGUUAUUUAGUUUGAAUUGCACUUUUAGUAUAUUAGUUGUAAUUUGGAAAAAAAUAUGGAUUAUUGAGCUUAGUUUACUCUUUUGCAUAUGUGAAUUUGGUUUGAUUGAAAAUAGGGAGUGAACUAAGAAUUUUUGGCUUUCCAUAAUCACAUCAUAUCAUUUAGGAUAUGUAUAUAAGAAAUAUUGGUCAAAUUGAUAAAAUUUGCAAGGAAGGUUUCUUUUUCUUAAAAAGGGUAUUAAGAUUCACAUUGAUUUGAGUUAAAACUUUUUGAAACUUGCAUGAGUAUAUAUAUAUAGUUUGGAAUAUGAUUUUUGAGCUAAGAACACACAAUCCGUGAGUUUUUUAGCUUAAUUGCAUGGUUACAUUAUUUAACCAUAAUUUUUAUUCUUGUGUAUUUUCUUUUCUAUGAUUGCAAUCUGUGGUUUGUUCCAUUCUAUAUGUCCAUUAUUUAGUAUAUUUUAAUACAAUUAGGUGAUUGAGGCCAUCAUUUGAUUAUAGCUCACUUAUCCCAAAUAGCUUACCAUUUCAUUUACCUUUGUUUGCGACAUUGAGCCUUUUUAACCCCCUUUUAUUCUUUAUAUUACCACAUCAUUAGCCUUAAGCGGAAAAAAUAAUUAAUUGUCCUAUUUGAAUCUUUGGUUAGCUUAAGAUAAUGAGUGUGUGUCAACUAAGUGUGGGAAAAUGUGAGAACUUUGGUUGAUGAGAAUGUGCUUUGUUUUUAUUGACAAUUAUUGAGAAUUUGGGUUUAUACUCAUGUGAAAUUAUAUAAACCAUAUGCAUUGAUGUAUUAUGCUUUCAUAUAUAGAAAAACAAAAUAAAAAGAAAAGAAAGAAGAAGAAAAAUAAAAAAAGAGAGAAAAAGAUAAAAUUGUUAAGUUCAAUAAUAAAAUCAAUGCAUAUGUGGUGGAAUUAAAAUUGAUACAUGAGUGUGUGAAAAUAUGCAAAAGUGAGAUUUUGGGUGGCUAGGCUUGAUUUUAGAAUUGUAUAGAGUGUGUGUAUGUGUUAGGUGAGAACUUAGGUUAGUCAAAGAUUCAUAUGAUAGCUCACUUGGCCAUAUAUAUAUAUCCUCACCCUUACCUUAGCCCCAUUACAACCUUAAAAAGCCCUCAUGAUAUUUGCAUUUGUACACUAGAUAAUUGUUGAUUGGUUAGAUGAAGAACAAAAUUUUUGAAAGCAUGAUUAGAGAAGAUUUGAGUGGUUUAACCCCAAAAUACCUGAGUGAUUAGAGUGCAUAUACACAUCCAGUGAGAGUUCAAUUGCUUAUUUCCAUAUGUCCAUAUUUGAACAUUGCUUGUCUUGCAAGUUUGUGAAUUCUUUUAAAUAACUCAAUUAAACUGUGAAUGUACUUGAUGUGAUUUAUUUAGCCCUUGAUUGUGCAUAUAUCAUUUCUUGGAAAUUUGAUUCACUUUGACCACAUAUAUGCUUAUAUAUAUAGAUAGGUAGUAAUUAGAAUAGCAUGAUGCAUGUAGAUAGCUUGCAUUUAGAUAGGUUGCAUUGCAUAAGUUCUACCAUUUUACCUUCACUCUUUUGGUUCUCUUGAGCUUAGCAUGAGGACAUGCUAAUGUUUAAGUGUGGAAAGAUUGAUAAACCCCAUUUUUAGGGUUUAUCUUGUGCUUAAUUUAGCAAAUUUUAUCCAUUAUUCUCACACUUAUGCAUAUAAUUUGCAUGUUUUGCAUUUUCCUUCCUAAUUUUAUACUAUGAUUGAAAACAUGUUCUUUGGCCUUAAUUUUGCUAAUUUUAAUUCUUCCUUAUCACCAUUCAAUGCCGUGAUAUAUUUGCUGAGUGUUUUCAGGGUUUAUAGGGUACGAAUGGCUUAGAGGAUGGAAAGGAAGCAUGCAAAAGUGGAAGGAACACAAGAAAUUGAGGUUUUGGGAAGCUGGCAGUGACGCGUGGGAUGACGCGUACGUGUGACCUAGUUUUUAAUUCAGCGAGGCGUACGCGUGAGCAACGCGUACACUUGAGCGACGCGUACGCGUGACAAAGCGUCAGGUGCUACAGAUAUAAGAAUUCAUUGGGGGCGAUUUCUGGGCUCCUUUUUUACCCAGUUUCAGGCUCGAAAAUCCAUAUUAGAGGUUGCAAAGUGGAGCUGGAUGGAGGAAUCAUUCAUUCACUUAUCAUAAUACAACAUUAGUGAGGUUUUAGACGUAGUUUUCUAGAGAGAGAGACUCUCUCCUCUCCCUAGGUUUUAGUGUUUCUUUUAGUUUUAAUUCUCAUUAAAUUCAGGUUUUUCAUAUUGCUUUAAUUUAGUUUGUCUUCUUUAUUUUAUUAUUCUAGCAUCUUAGUUUAUCUUCUCUUGUUGGUUUGUUUAUAUCUCCAAUUUAGUUUAUGAACUCUUCAUGUUACAUUUAAUUUCUUAUUAAUUCAAGUUGAGGUAUUUUAUGUUUAUUGCUUCUUUCUUCAAUUGUUAUUGUUGUCUUGCAAUUGGGUAUCUUAGAUUUUAUUAUCUCGUAUUAGUUCUCUAUGCUUUUAUUUUGUACCUUCCAAGUGUUUGAUAAAAUGAUUGGGAGGUUUUUAAUUUAGAUUUUUAUGUUCUUAACUUGGAUUGACUAUUUAGAGACUCUUGAGUUAUCAAGUCUUUUGUUGAUUGGUAAUUGAGACUUGCUAGUUGGUUUAGGCUUCACUAAAUCUAGUCUUUGAUUAGGACUUGUGAACCUAAGUUGAUUUUACUCACUUGACUUACCUUCAUUGUUAGAGGUUAACUAAGUGAAAGCAAAAGGCAAUUACCAUCACAAUUGAUGAUGAUAAUGAGGAUAGGACUUCUAUUUAUCAAUUCUUGCUAAGAUCUUUCUUAGUUAUUAAUUUAUUUUCUUUCUAUUUUACUUUCUUGUUUCUUAUUUCAAAAACCCAAAAAAUAUACUUUCCCAUAACAAAUAAUAACUACACUUCGCUGCGAUUCCUUGAGAGACGACCCGAGGUUUAAUACUUCGGUUUACUUUUAUUGGGUUUGUAUUUGUGACAAACAAAUUAAAUUUGAUUGAGGAUAAUUUGUUGGUUUAGAUCUAUAAUUGCAACGUAACAUUUUUGUGAAAUUCUUUAUUGACAAUUUUCCUCCAUCAAUGAGUUUAAUUAUGGAGUUUUGAAUGUAUGUCUGUAAUACCUGGGUAGUAGCAAGGGUCGUGGUUCGUCCGACUUGCUCUGGGUCAUUGUUUGAGAAUUGGUAAUAAUGAAGGGUGAUUAUGAUUGAAUGUGUAUUUGUGAUACCUGGGUAGUAGCAAGGGUUGUGGUUCGUUCCGCUUGCUCCAGGUUAAUGUUUGAGAUUUUAUAACAACGAUGAUUGAUUUUAAACGGAAUGAAUGUAUGUUUUAAGUCCUGGGCAGUAGCAAGGGUUGUGGUUUAUUCCACUUGCUCCAGGUUAGAGAUUGUGACACCUGUGUUGUAGUGACAGUAGUGGUGAUUUCCCUCGCUCCAGAUUGAGCUUCUAAACACCCGCCUAGGUAGUAGCCGCAGUAGUGGUUAUUCUACUGGCUCAGGAUUGAGCGGGUAGUAGCAAGGGGGUUGUACCUCAAACCCUCUUGCUCCGCAAUGGGUGUUUCAGUCCAUGGUUAGCUACCAGGACAUGUCGGGUUGGCUAUAUAACCGACAGAUAAUAUCAUCAGCCAUAGGGCAGGUAUACAUCAUUUGCAUAUGUUUGAAUUGUUUGGGUUUUCUUAUUUGUUUUGGAUUGCUAUAUCAUAUAUACUAUGUUACCUGAUUAUGUGCUACUUGUUCUACUUGUACCUUAUUAUGUAUUACUUGUCUGUAUUGCUUGUGUUUGUACAACUGAGAGGUCCCUCAUGCCGGUGUCGGUUGACACAGAGGGCUGUUCUUGUUGAGAUGAAAUAAUGAUAUGAUUAAUUUAAACUUAUGAUUAUUGAAUGAGAUAAUUUGAGUUCCCUGGGUAGAUGCAGUGUCACUUGCUCCAGGUGAGGAUAUAAAGUAUUGAUAUAGAAUUGCUAAGACAGAAUAACUGGUGAUGGUUUGGCUUAUGAUUCUGAUUCUGAUUUGUUGGAAAGUUAGAAAGUUGGGAAGCAUGAGGAAGAGGAAUUAGAUUUAGCAUUCCCUUAUGAUAGUUGCCUAUUUAUGGAUUAGCGAGAAUAUAAGAUGAAUAUUACGUGAAAGGAAGUUUAGGAUGCUUAGUGAGUUUUUAUUACAAUGCAUUGUAUUUAUUUGGCACUUUUACCGUAAUGGGAACCCAUGGGUCAGGGGUUCUCAUUCCGUAUAUAUCUCUUAUUUUUCAAAUGCAGGUCCAGGUGCUAAACAGUGAGAUGUGAUUUGUCUGAAAGACGGUGAAGACCUUUUAAGAUCUCUUAUUUAUAUUUUUCUUAUAGAAUCAACAAAAACCUAUAGAUCAAUCACAAUUUCCAAAUCCAGAUCCAAUUUUAACAAACAGUAUAGAUCACGAAGAAGUUCAAACUUCACAUGUAGAUUCAAUUUCAAAAUUAUAACCCAAAUCUUCGCCAGCAAGCAAAGACGGCGAACCAAUGGCGCAACUAAUAUCGUCAAAAACUAAAGGUCUGAGUAAAGGUAGCAGCGUUGAGGCCGUGACAUCACGAAGGGAAAGGUGGAGGACAUAGAUCUUGAAAUGGCAGAGGAGGAAGGGGUGACUCGACCACCACCAAAGCCACCAAAUCAGAAUUCACACAUGAUGGUCUUGGGAGAAACUGCAUCAGCAGAGAUCAUGGCAGAAGCAACGCCGCACCGGGCAGAGAGCUUGACAAGUGAAGGGAAUGGUGGGGUCGCAUCAGCAAUUGUAGGAGGAACGACUAUGAGAAGGACCCCGCUCGAAGAGAAGCAUCACAGACGAGCAACGUGGCGGCAACAAGUCAGUCCUGGUCCGUUUCUCUGAUCAUGGCUAGGCUACCACCACAAAUGGCAGAGAUGUUUCCCUAGGAGAAUGAGAAUGAGAUCGCCCCAGAGAAAAAGUAGGACCACAACCAUGGAGUUGUUUCAGGCGCGAUUACGACUGGAAGAAGUGGCGACUGGCGUGCAUUGUGGAGAGAUGGAUGCGGGUUAGAUGCAGUGGCGGCGUUGGUGGUUAUUUUGGAACUAUGAAACCCAGGGCAGAGAAGGAAGGAGCCGCUGGGGAUGAUUGGUGCACGAAAUUGUGAUCCCUGGUAAUGGCUCCAAAAACUUGGUGCUCUACUCUUAAUUCAUAACUUGUCACAACUUCGAUACAACUAACCAGCAAGUGCACUGGGUCGUCCAAGUAAUAAAACCUUACAUGAGUAAGGGUCGAUCCCAGGGAGAUUGUCGGCUUGAAGCAAGCUAUGGUCAUCUUGCAAAUCUCAGUCAUGAAGAUUCAUAUGGUUAUGAAUAUUUGCAUAUCAGAGCCUGCUAGGGAUGGCAACGGGUCUCCAUAGGGGCGGGGACAUGUCUCCCGCCCCUUGCCCCCACGCCAUUCCCGCGACGGGUUAACAGGGACCCAUAUCCGCCGGGGAUCGGUGUCUCCGCGAAUAUCCGCAGAUUUUUUAAAAACCUAAAAAAAUUAAAAAAAAAAGAAAAAUAAAAAAAGAAAGAUCAAAGAUAAUCUGCAAAUCAUCGUUAGAAGCAUACUCUUUAUAGGCUUCACAUACUUAAAUAGCAACAACUAAUAUUAUCUCAACUCAAUCAUCAAACAUAUUAAUAAAACAACCAAAAUAUAUCUAAAUACUAAACUUAUUCAUCACAUUCUAAAAACAUAAGCUUAAGCCUUUCUUUCAUCACAUCAUGGCAGGGAUAGUAGAUUUUGAUUUGUUUGAAUCUGCAUAAAAAAAUCGAAGGUUAAAUAAUUUCAAACACACAAUCCCAGUUUCUUUUGGCUACUACAUUAUUAAAAAACAAAUAGAGGCACAUAUAUGAGGUACAAUCACAAGAUAUUUCUAUGAAAUUCAAAGAAAAUCACAAAUUACAAGAUAAUUAAUGACAAAAUGCUUCAAAGUAAAUGAAAUCUAAGGCUAACUUAUCGGAAGGAAGUGCUGCCAACGGAGAAAAACGAUCUUACUAGAUGCUGCGAUGGAGACCGGACUACCUCUAUCAAAGAGAAAGACGAAGACGACGAUGGGAACAAUGUCUCUGCCAUAGACGAAGAUGGCGACGGCAAAGAACAAUUGUGCCUCUGCUGAAGAUGAAGACGGCGACGAUGAAGAAUGCCUCAUCUGAAGACGAAGACGGCGACUGCAAAGAACGCUUCUGCCUCUGUCGAAGACAAUGGCGACGCUCAAGCUCUUCGCAGUGACUUUGAAAUUGAGAGGUAGAAGCCGUGAGAGGAGAUGAGGCUCGCAAUGAUGCAGACGGCGGUGAGAGUGGAAAAGGGUGGUGAAGAGAAGAAGAGGAAUUGAGCGGGACCGAGAAGGAGAGGCCGGGAGGGAGAGGAUUUGAGUUUUGAGAAGAGAGUGAGUAAUGACGGCUGAGAGAAUAGAAGGGUUUGGCUUAGGGUUUCUCAUAAUAUAUAUAUAUAGGGGUAUGGCUUAGGGUUUAUUUCAAGGGUCCCCGUCCCCGCCCUCUGCGAGUAAAAACCUCCUCCAAAUCCGUCCCCCGACAGGUAAAUUCCCGCGGAUACUUGCCCUGCCGGAAAAAAUUGCCAUGCUUAGAGCCUGCAGCCUGGCUGUAUUUGGCUUGAUCUGGUCUGACCUGUUAUAAAAUAGGCACAUAUUUAGAUUCUUGUAAACGUUUUAAUAUGUUAAUAGGUGAGUCCCAAAUUCACUAAUUAGCCUUAUUGGCCUAUCAAGCCUGCAUGAGCUAAGUNNNNNNNNNNNNNNNNNNNNNNNNNNNNNNNNNNNNNNNNNNNNNNNNNNNNNNNNNNNNNNNNNNNNNNNNNNNNNNNNNNNNNNNNNNNNNNNNNNNNNNNNNNNNNNNNNNNNNNNNNNNNNNNNNNNNNNNNNNNNNNNNNNNNNNNNNNNNNNNNNNNAUGGUCAUGCCUUUUAACUGGCUUUAUGCCAAACUAGACCUAUUACUUUAAAAAAAGUCUAUAAUCAGGCCCAAACUAAUUAACUACAUAAUAUGUCUGACCUGUUUUCACUCCUAUCUAAUGUGCCAAGUCCAAUUUAGCUCAAUAAAAAUUCAAUUCACAUCAGCAAGUAGAUUUAGGGUUAGAAAAAAUUAUUUUAAACAGAUGGAGGGUCUAAUUUUUUUAAACAAUGUGAUCAUGGAGGUAUAUUUUAUUUUAGGCAGUAAAAUAGAAAUAAGAUAAAAAAUAUUAUUUUAGAAUUAAUUAUUAUUUUUAUUAAGGGUAAAGUAUAUUUUUUGUCCCUGAAGUUUAGCAAAAAUUUCAAAAAUACCCUUAAAUUUUAUUUUGUUUCAAUUUUGUCCAAGAAGUUUUCGAUUUGCAUCAAAUAUACCCUUAACUGCUAAAUUUUCAAAAAAAUUAAGACCAAUUUAACAAUAAUGCAUGAAAAUUAUGCUUGAUUUACUUGUGUUGAGGGUUGUUCUUAUGAAAUUGUUGUUGAAUUGGUCUUAAAUUUUUUGAAAAAUUAGCCGUUCGGGGUAUAUUUGAUGCAAAUCGAAAACUUUUAGGACAAAAUUAAAACAAAAUAAAAUUUAGGGGUAUUUUUGAAACUUUUGUCAAACUUUAGGGAUAAAAAAUAUAUUUUAUAAUUAGGAUUUAUAUUUUUUUUCACAACCUUGAAGGCAAUAUUAUCGUUAAAGAAAAUGUAAUGUAAGAAGUAAAAAGUGGCCUAGAAUUCAAUUAGAGUAGUUUUAGGGUUAAGUACCGUUUUGUCCUUAAGGUCUUGGCUCAAAAUCAAAAUGGUCCCCAACCUUUUUUUGUUAUUAAAAUCAUCUUCAACGUUAUAAAACGUUAUAAAAUUAUCCUUUUGUCCAUGAACAAUUUUUUUGGACAAAUUUACCCUUAAUAAAAAAAACUACCGAACCGACCAAGAACCAGUCGGUUGGACUAUAUCGGUAACCGGUCGGUUCGGAUAAAAUGACGCCAAUCAUUCAUUCAUUUGUCACUCCCCCCAAUCAUUCAUUCAUUCAUCACUCCCUGGACUGAAGAACUCUGAAGAAAAAGGGAACCCUAGCCCUUCAUCACUGCCGCCGUUUCGAGGUCAUUAGCGCCGCCGCCGUCCCCAGGUCCUCAGCACCGCCGUCGUCCCCAGGUCCUCAGUGCCACCGCUUCUUCCUCUUCCCCGUGUUCGGAACCAGUGACUCGGCACGUCAUCUUCAUCUUCGCUGGCUUCUCGGCACAGAACCCAGGUUAGUGGCUUCUCAUCUUCAUCUUCACUGAAUGUUCAAUCUUUGAUCUUCUUCUUCAAUUUUUAUUUGAAGUUCUGAAAUUAUUGUUCUUUAGUCUUCUUCUUCAAUUUUUGUUCCAUUUUUCUUCAAUCCUUCUUCAAUUUUUGGUUUUGAUUGCUCUGUUACUCUGUUAAAUUAUGUGUAUUAAAAUAAACUUAUUCUGUGAAUGAGAAGAUGAAGGGUUGUUGUUGUGAAUGAGAAGAAGAAGAAGAUGAAGAAGAAAGAAGAUAUGAGAAGAAGGGUUGUUGUUGUGAAUGAGAAAGAAAGAGAAGAAGGAUCUGCCGUCUGCGUUUGCUUACAUGUUUUUAAAUUUUUGUUUGAGAUAUUGCAUGGACAAAGAGAUUUUAGUACAGGGCCUUAGCUGGACUAAGAAUUCUUUUGGAGAAGAGAAAUUUGUUGAACUGGCUGGGAGCAUGAUUUCCUCUCUGCUGGAGUCUGGUAGUUACCAACAAGAGCCUUAGUUACCAACAAAAGCCGGCUUCUGAUUUUUCACCAUUCUUGCUCAUGAAACAUAGUGGAAUUGACAAAAGCCUGCAGGAUGAGCUGCUUGAGAAGAGUGGCUGUAAUGAAAGUGAGCUUCAGUCUAUCCUUGGCCCUCAUAUCAUAGUUGGAUGCUUCUAUUGAUAAUAAAGCUUCAGGAGUUCUUCCUAAGGCCUACUGGGAGUGCAUAUCCUAGAUUGGUUAUUUAGAAUAACAGCAGGGAGAAAGGUUGAUUUGGACAUCAAAGUUUCUGAAAAAAUUCUUGAUGCUGUAAUGAUUAUCAAGUAUGAUAGGAUAUUUGAAGGUAUUCAUGGGCAAUGUGAUGCUCUUUAUCAAAGUAUGAUAGGAUGUUUGAAGGUUAUUUAGAAUAACUGGAAUGGUCAAGCUAUGAUGACUUAAUUCUAAUGAAGCAAGAAUGGAUAAUCUGCUUCUCUUUAUUUUUUUUUUUACAAAAUAAAAAACGGCGUCGUUUUAUCUGAAUUGGCAGGUUACCGAUCCGGUCCAACUGAGCGGUUCUCGGCCGGUUCGGUAUUUUUUUUUAUUUUUGUUUAAGGGUAAAAUUGUCCAAAAAAAUUGUUCAUGGACAAAAGGAUGAUUUUAUAACGUUUUGUAACAUUGAGGAUGAUUUUAAUAACAAAAAAAGAUCAGGGACGAAUUUGAUUUUCACCCUAGACCUUAGAGACGAAAACAGUACUUAACCCAUAGUUUUAUUUGUAAUUGAUCUAUAUAAAUAAAUAUAGUAAGAAUUUAAUGAUAUUGAAUGAUUUUAGUGAUUGAUUUCUUUUCUAUUUGACCCUAACUGGGAUUCUCUUUACUCUCUCUUUUCUCUAUUGGUCCUUAAUUGAAAUUUUUUCUUAUUCUAUCCCUAUGCUCUGACUUGGAGAAUAUGUUAGAUGCUCUCUCUACUACUUCGGUAAUCACCAUUAAGAUAAUAAUCAAUCCAAAUAUGAGAUAACUUUUCACUCAGUAAGGGAAUAACACGUGAUCAAUUUAUCUUCAAGAGAUGACAAGGUCACCCUUUCUACUUUAUAAUACUACAAUAAUCAGGUAUUUUUUUUAAUAUAAUUUCAUUCAAGUCUGCUAAAAUUCUUACUAAAUUAAGUAUCAGAACUCCUUCAAGGUACCCCAGCCUAGAUGAGGACGUCAGAAAAAUCACCCUUUUAAGGAGCGAGUCGAAACUAUUCCUUAGAUGUUUGGACCUUACGUUCAGAUCCAAAACACUAUACAAUUUUAAGUAAUUUCUGGAACAGUUAGAUAUUAGGGUGGUUUAUUUGUUAACAUAUUUAUUUUUAAUUUUUUUUUUUAGUGAUCAAGUGAAGUAGGACCAUUAUUAAAAAUAAUAUCACAAAAAAAAAUAAUUAUAAUAAAAAAAUUUUAAUUAAAGAAAUAGCAUCACACAAGAAAUUGACUUAAUAUAAAAGGUUAAAAAAAGAAACAAUAAGUAACAAUAAUAUGUACCCUUGUCAUUAAGAAUAGAUUAAUUUGGUUAAAGGGCUUUGAGCAAAAAUUCUUUUUAGGGCUUGUGAGAUCAAAAAGAUUUUUGGUUAAAUAGUCAAGAUACUAAUAUCACUUUGAUCAAUGUCUACGUUGAUUCUUCAUUUGGUUUAAGUUGCACAAUUAUCUUGCUCAUGCAUCACGCAUAUUCCUCUUAGUAAUAGUAGCAAUUUUUUAAUACAAAAUUCAUAAGUUCCCUUUGGAUAUGGAUGAAAGUCAAAAUAAUAAUAAAUUUGUUUAUUUAUUUAUUUGAUAAGGUGGAAAUUUUUAAUCACCACAAAUAUAUAUUGAUUAAUUAGUGUAUGAAACUCUCAUUGAAGGUGGUUAUUUUUUUUCGUGCUAAGCAUUUUACAACUAGGGAUUCACUAGAUAUUUAUUACAAAAUAAUUUCUCUGGUAACUCAAUCUAGUUAAUACUUAAGUUCGUUCCUAAAAAAAUUUAAUUUUUAAAUCGUUUAUCGAAAAAAUUUAUUAGUCAUAUUAGAUUUAUUAUCGUAAGUCAAAUCAAUUCUUUCAUCAAUUAGAUGAUAAUGUGUGCUCAUGUAUGUUAAGUGCCACAUGACAUAAUAAUAUAGCUGAUUAGAGAAUAAUAUGUGACGUUAAGUGUUGCACGUGCUAUGAUGAUAUAGCCAGUUUAACAUCAUAUAUAACAAAAUAAUUAAUUGAUGUAUCAUGUUAUAUCAAUAUUCAAUUAAUUAUUUUGUGAUAUGUUAAUUUAUCACGUCAUCAUGUUACGAGACCCUUAAUAUUAUUGUCAUUAUGUGACUGACAAAAAGAUCAAUAUGACUACUAAAAUUUUUUAAAGACCAAUUUAAAAAAUAAAUUAUUUUUAUAGGCAAAUUUAAGAAUUUAUUUCUCCUAACUCUGAAUUAUUAUUUAUUACAUUAUCAUAAAUCAGGCUCCAACUAAAGGUACUACAUAAAAAAUGUUAAUUACUAUUGCAUAAAUUAAUUAUGAUUGAUUACCAACAAAUUUCAAAUCACGCAUUCUAUUAUGGGUUCAACUAGUAUGUGCCAUAAGGGCACAUUUUAAAAUUUUUAGUUAGAAAAGUUAAUUUAAAAUUUUACUACAUUUAUUGUUUAUUUAUUUAAGAAAACAAAUUAAUAAUUUCUACUAAUGAUUAGUGUAAUAUGUGCUUUUAUUAUGAUAUAAUUUAGUUAAACUCUUGUAUUAUUAUCAAACCUACCUUAGCCCUGUUGGCAUAGGAUAAUACUAACUCUAUAAACGAGUACUCAAUUUGAUCUAACUCGUUCUGGUAGGAUUGAGAGCAUAGUGGGUUAAACUGGGGGUAGGGUUAAGAACCCUAACUGACCUAUUCGCAUCCGUAAUAAAUUAAAGGUUUAAUUAUUUUAUUGAUCUCUAUAGUUUCAUGAAAUUUUCAAUUAGGUUUCUAUAUUUUUUUUUCUUUUAAUUGGAUUCCUUCACCAAUUUUUUUUCAAUUAGAUCCUUUUUGACAGUAAUUGAUUUAAUUGUAUAGGAACCCAAUCAAAAAAAAUUUGUGCAAGGACCCAAUUAAAAGAAAAAAAAGUAUAGGGACCCAAUGAAAAAAAAAAAUAGUGCAAGGACUCAAUUAAAAGGAAAAAAAGUAUAGGAAUCUAAUUAAAAAUUUUGCGAAACUAUAGAGACCAAUAGAGUAAUUAAACCUAAAUUAAAGUAUAUUAUUUAAAAAUAUUAUAUGUAUAUAAUGAAGUUGGUAGAGAUUAAACUCUCAUUCUCUCCCUUUUGUAAUUUUAACAUAAAUUUCAUUAUAUUUUAUUAUUUUUAAUUUUAAUAUGGACUUAAUUUGUAUUUUUGUUUAUUAAUAUGUAUGAAAUAUGGAAUGAUUACAUAUUAUAUUUGAUUGAAAAAUUUUAUUUUGUUACAGGUAGAGCCGGAUAAGGUCGGUAAAAAAUAUUUGAAUGUGAUUAAGAUUAGAAUUAAAAAAUUCUCCACCUAUAAAUAAGAUAUAAUUAAAUUUUAGUAAUAAUUUAAAUGCACAAGUAAGAUUAUGAUAGAGUCUAAAUCUUAUCUUUAUCCUUUUUUUCCAAAAAAAUUUCAACUAUUUAAGUAAAAUUAUUAGUUUGAAAAAUAAUAUGAUUUUAUUUUGUCAACAUUAAUUAGAUGAUUGACUAUUCACUCUAUUAAUUAAGACUUAGAUUUAAAUUUGACCAAAAGAUAUUUUAUCAAAUAUAUUCUCUUAUAUACAAAGAGUAUUACACCUAUUAAACUAGAGUCAAUAACCCAAAAUGUUAUAUGAAAAAUACAAAAUCACGUUUAAUUUUUGCUAACAUGAUAAUUAAUCUCUUUGACUUAUAAAUUUUUCAUAAAAAAACAAAUAUUGAAUUUGUAAAAGAUUACCAAAGCGGCAAAUAAUUUGGGGGAAAAAAUUAUAUUUUAGCAUUAAUUUUAAAAAAUAAUUUACUAAAAAUAUGAAUAAUGAGAAAACAUACUCAAUUUUGAUAAUUGUUAAACCAUGAAUAGAAUAUAAUUAAAACAAAUUUAAAAUUAUAUAUUUUAUGUAUAAUAUAUUAUAAUUUAUUAUUAUCUUUUGACAUUCAUCCAACUCUAUAAAUUUACAUCAAAAGGCCUUCAUAGAAGCCAUCAAAACACAAAAUAUUUUGUUUGUGACUCCAACCUAGUUUUUAUUUUUUAAUUCAAAAAAACUAGGAAACAUGGUGAAGAUUACAACUAAGAUAUCAUUUGUAAUGAUCUUUCUCGCUUUAGUAGCCACCAAUGGUAUUUUCUUUUUAAUCUUAUAUGCAUCCGUUCUUUUUUUUAUAUAUAUCUAAACAAUUAUAUUACUAGAUACGUACUAAUCUUGUUUAUAUUUAAUUUGUGUUUGUGAAACAUUUUAAAUUUCUACCAUGAUGCUGCAAAUAUAAUUAUAUAUUAUGACUAUCUUUUUUAUUUUUCAUUUUUAAAUAUUUUUUCUUUUGUAGGAUUUGGUCUGCCCAAAACACCAACAAAUGUGGUGCCUCAACAGGAUUGCCCUGGUGGUUGCAAUUUUCUAAUAAAUGUUUGUUUUCCACUAUUUCCUGCGUGUAUUAAUGGCAAGUGUACAUGUGCAAAGUUAGACAAUAAUAAUGCAAGCACAAAACAAGAACGCCACUAUGUCAAAGAUGGUGAAAAAGGAAACUAGUAGCUGAGUGCAUACCAUUAGAAAUAAUGUAGUUUACCUACAUUUUAAUAAUAAAAAUCUUGGAGUUUAAUAAUUUAUUAUUACUCAUGAAUGUAAAAUUUGUGUCGUCUUGUGUACUU